UUUAUUUUUAUGAGUAGGAAUCAAACUCGGUACUUCCGGAUUUAAAUCAGUCACACACAUUGCACACAAAUCACAAUGAGUAGCAAAAGAUAAACUAUUGUUGCAUAUACCACAAUGUCUGAAGGAUCAAAAUCACAAUGUUACACUUACAUUUUGAGAUUCAAUAUUGUAGCCAAGAAAACACUUAUUGGCAAACAAGACAAAACCACACUGAUUAUAGUUUAGAACAAUCAGGACAUGGAAAGUAACCUCUGGCUUGACAAUUUACACCAGCUAUCUUCUUCACCUGUGAUUCGCGAUUACCGAUUGUUUCGAACAAAUCAUCUAUAAGGUUAAAACUAAGUAACCUCCUUCUUUGAUCGACCCGGUUCCUUUGCAUUUAGCGCAAGCCGUUCUUCCUACAUUGCCACACCGCUUGCACAACCCAAUGAGCUGCAAGUAAAGGUUGUGACAUAUAUAUGUCAGAAAAGAGGCAGCAAAAGAAUAAUCUAUUAAAGUUUGGUUUUGUUUAGAUAAACAACUUGAUCAAACACUAAUAGCACAUGAACUUAUCAUAUAAGUGGUUAUUUGCAUAGAAUUUUGACAGAGAAGAAGUUUUGCAGUAAUGAUAACUUGAGAGCAGAGAAGACAGAUACAUUAAAGGCACAUGUUAUUGACAGAGAAGAAGUUUGCAAGAUAUGUUUAGAACAGCCAAAACAAACAAGGAAACUGAAAAAUCCAAGAAAAGUGAUUCUUAAUACUUUCUCCACACAAAAAUUAAGGAAUGUCAACGAAAACAACAACAUAUGAUGAUAAGAUAACAACAUUCACAGAAGCUAAGAAUCUAAUUACUGAGAAAUAUUGAACACAACCUUUCAAUAAUCAAACCUAUCUCCACUUUCUACCAACCUUCUAAAAUUCAGAAAUAGUACUUUAGGAUUCAGCACAAAAAGGCAUAAACUUUGAUUUGAUUUCUCUAUCUAAAUGCUUAAUGAAUGAUUUAGAGAAAUUGUUUUCAAAAAUGGGUCAUUGAAAGAUAUCGAGAAACACUUAACAAAAAAAAUAGAAAACGAGUUAGAGGAAAACGAGAUAGAACCUGCGUUGAGAAGAAGAGAAGAAAACAUCGAUUUUGGGAGCAGCAAUGGUAGCAGAAAGAAGCAGAACACCCACUGCCAAACCAGCUACUUCGCUUGCCGUAAUAUUAUCCAUUCUCUACUAUUUCGCGAACCAUAAAAGAAUCUUCAAAUAUCGCUUCAAUAUUUCAAUGUUAGCAAUGUUUUAUCCAUUAAAUACAAAUACGCAGACGCUUUUAACAACUGGCCCAUUAGCUCAGUUGGUUAGAGCGUCGUGCUAAUAACGCGAAGGUCUCAGGUUCGAGACCUGCAUGGGCCAAAUUCUUUUAUUUUGAUUUCUUACCAUUUAGCUACGGUUUUGCCGCGGGUAAUCCGCAGGUAAACUGGGUUUUCCUAGUUUUGUAAUUAGUGUAUAUUUCUUAAGAUUUUGUAAUUAUUAUUUGGCUUAAUUUGUACAUGAAGUUCACAAAUAUUAUCAGCAUUUUCUUUAACUGAAGCAUUAGCAGGAUUUAUAAUUAGAGAGAUAAAAUUAUAAUCUUAUAUGAUUUGUAAAAGUGAAAGUAUAAAUGUAGGAGUAUAUAUUGAUUUUCUUUAAAAUUGGAUCUAAGAGACAAUGACUAAGUUAAGUGAUAAGGAAGAAGUUGAUAGAUUAGUCGGUUUUUAGUGUAGAGAUCCUCAAGAGAAACCUGCUAGGGUGUUAAAACAUGGUGUUUAAUGUUAAUAGAAUUCUUUAAUGUAUAUGAGUUGAGGAGUUAUAUUCAAAUUUCUAAGGUAAAGUCUCUUCAUCUCGCCCAACUCUAUGAAGUUAUGAAAAUUAGGUAGCAAAGCUUAGUGAGGUGUUUUCUCUAGAUUUUGUGUAGUUUAAAGAAAACCUCUCAAUUCUCUUUCUUGGAUGUUGGUUUUCUAGGUGUCGUGUCUAGAAUGGGAGUUUAUAAAUCUUACUCCCUUCGUUUUAUAAUGAGUGAUUUAUUUAGAAUAAAAGAGUGUUUCAAAAUGAAUGAUCCAUUUUAAUUUUCAAUACAUUUUUUCCAAUUCUAUCCUCUAAUUAAUAUCAUUUUCAAUACUUGAUUAGGGCAUUUUAGUAAAAGUAUCAUUCUCUUUCUUCUAUUUUUUUUCUUAAUCUGUGUGAAAUGGUCAACUGGGUCACUUAUUGUGUGACAGAGAGAAUAUUGCUUUGCGGUUAAAGUCUAAUAUAAGUGUAGAUGGCUAGAGAAGAUAAUUAUUUGGAUUGGACAUUUGUGACGCAUAGGUUAGUUUUAGGGUGAAGUGUGGUGUGUUCUCGAGAACUUUAACUUUGUAUUUCUAGUGUGGAAAAGAUCAAUCUUGGAGGUUUUAAUCGACUAGAAGGGACUACGAAUUUUAUCGGUUUAACUAACUUCAAAGUAUGGUUUGAAAACAAAUCUUUUGCGAUGAUAAUAAAUAUGACAAGUAAUCAGCAAGGAAAGUAAACAAAUUAAAGGCAGUGCAAUGAAGUAAACAUAUUAAAAGUGGAGCGAGAAAUAAACAAACUAAAGGCAGUGCGAGAAAAUAAACAAAUUAAAGGCAGUGCGAGGAAAUAAACAAAUUAAAGGCAAUGCAAGGAAAUAAACAAUUUAAAGGCGAAGCGAGAAAUAAAUAAUAAUAAUAAUGCGAAUUGUAUUAAAAAUCUGCUCCAAAUUGGAGACUUGAAUCUGGUACAAACUUGAAAUAAAUCUGACUUGAAAGUAAAAUGACGGGAAGAUUAACUUCUAUUCUAUGGUGCUCAAAACUUAAUUACAACAAUGGUGCAAUAAUCCUCCGAUGUGAAAAAUUAUUGCUUUAACUAUGUGAUUCUAUGGCCUAUGCUGCAACUAGACUUGGAUGCCUACAACUAAAGACCUAAAUCCUAUUUACAGUGUAACAACACCUCGAAGGUUACAUAACACUUUCAAAAUUCGUGUGGAGAAAAAAUAUCUAGUCGUGACCUCUUCCUAGCAAUCAUCCUUGACUGUGCGCGGAAUAGGAAGAUGGCACACACCAUCUAGGCAUGGCGUCCUCCAUGUGUACAAAGUGUGGACGACGUGGUCUUGUGACCGUUGAAACAUGGGUGAUAACUUACACAUCAUGGCUACCCACAUGGCCAACGCCAUGUGUGUAUUUUCCACUGAAAAUCUCUGAUUCUUUCUCUUUUCGCUUCCUUUUUUUCGUGAAAGGCUUUAUUUAAGCAAUGUACCUAAAAACAAGACAAAAGAUAAGCAUAACGCAAGAAAUUAGCAAUAAAACUAUAAUAAUCAUGUGCAAUCCGAGCCAAAUAUGCAGUGUGUUUCAGUGUUAUCGAAUUCUUCCACACUUAAAUCUUUGUUUUUCCUCAAGCAAACUCUUAUGAGCACAAAAGAAAAGAAUAGCAACACACAAGUAUCAAAUUUAGGCUAAAUACUUUUAGUUCGAUCAAGGUUGCGUAGAUAGGUACUAACUCGUGAACUAAGGAUAUCGUAGUAACACUUUCUGCGGUUUGCGAUCAUAAGUUUCCUUCCUAUACAAACCAAUCCACAAUAUGUUAUUAUACCAAGGCCUAACUUACUAAUUCCUUUUUCAUCCUUUUUCAUUCAUGCACAAUCACAUUAAGCCCGUUAUCUUGUACUCACAUGGUGAACGAACCUGUUGGUGACCCUGAUCCAAAUUUGUGUCAACAUUCAAUAAUUUUUCUAUUUAGCACAUACAUAUAAGCAUGAGUUUUAGAAGUUUCUCUAUCGUUGGGUUAAAUAAUCGGGUGAGGGUUACCUAACUUAGAGGGUGAAUCCUUUUUCAAAUUCUUAGCUUUUCCUACAUGUAUGUUUUCUUUUUCUUUCUUUUUAUUGGAUCAUUCACCUAUUUGCAUCGGUUUGUUCAUGUAGUGGUAACUAAGAUAGUGCUGACUGCUAAAAUAAACUAUUUAAGGAUUAAUUCAAGGGUGAUAUUUCAAGGCCACAUCUUAAUAAGUACCUGAUUUGGUUCCUAUAAUUAAGAAACUUAUGAUGUCAUAACGAUAUCAAUUUUCCCAAAGUUUUCCCAAGUCUCUGCAACCUAUCCUAAACUUGUCUAACAAUCCAAAAUUUUCAAAAUAACAGUUGUUUUGUUAUUAAAAAAAUGUCAUGACUUAAGAAAUGGGGAAAAUCAGACAAACAACACACACAACUCGUCAAACACAUGUAAUCAUUAAAAACUAACUAGAAGCAUAAUUAAAACUAACUAGAAAGCAAUACAAUUAGAAAACAUAAAUAAAAAUGAAAAUAAUAAAUAUCUCCUCCCACACUUAAACCGAACAUUAUCCUCAAUAUUUCGAUAAAGUUGAAAAGCGAUAGGUAAAACCUGGACAACACUACUGCUAACCACUAGUACCUUUUCCUCCCUGAUCGAAACGUCGAGGAUGACGACUCAUACUGCAGUGAUGGGCACUCUAUGAAAUCUCGAGUUGCUCAACCCGUGUUGUCAAUGCAGUGUUUGACUCUUGAAGUAUUAUGAUGUUCCCUAGUAUAGAAGCAUGAUUCAUCUCCAUAAGGUCAAGGUGAUUGGCCAUGUAAGCUUGAUGGCACUGCUGUUGAGAAGUAAUGGUGUGCUGAGACUCUAUGAUGGUCUACAUAGAUCAUUCAGUCUGUCUCUGAGACUCACACAUGAAGUCCAUCGCGUCUCAUUGAUGCUCAUACAUGGCAUACAACAGACUGUUGCAUUCUUCUUCACGAGCUCUUUGCUCUCUCAGCAUUUCUUCAAUUAAGUAGUGGCCGGUGGAUGUACCUGCAAAAGAGUGAAUACAAGGUGGUUUCUGUAGGUAACAUUAAUGGCAUUAGAAUAUUCCUCCCAUUGAAGUUGGUGGCAAAGGCAUCUCACACUUGCUUCAAGACCAAAGGCUUCUAGGCAGUUGGAGUCAGGAUAUUUGGUUGGUAACAAUGGUCGCUCAGAAAGGACCAUAUACCAUUUCCUCUGAGUAUCAUCUCUGAACACAACAUGGAUAUCGUCGAAGCUCUGUAUCCUGAAAAAUAUGGUUAGUGGAGAAUGUGCUAUGGAGAGGGAUGGAUCUGAAACCUGAAACAUAAACAUCACAUAAGUCAGUCAUGUUAAGCAAAUAAUAAAUUAAAUAGUUCAUAUUUUGAAAAUAAUGGAAAAUAAGACAAAAAUUAAUAAAUUAAUAAAUAUAAAAUGGUCGUGGGUUGCCUCCCACGCAACACUUGUUUAACAUUGUUAGCUCGGCGAUUAUAGAACUCACAUCGUAGAAGUAGAAAUUGGUGGUUCGAUCAAAGUAUGGCCAGAGUAAUAGGUAGGGAUGUCACCUCCGUCAUAGUGUUUCAACCUUUGUCCAUUUACUACGAAAGGACUACAUGAAUGGUUUCAGAUUUCUACUGCUCUAGACUUUAGGACUUUAGUGACCUCAUAAGGGCCAGUCCAUCUUGAGCAUAAAUUACCAGGGAAAAGCCGCAAUCUAGAAUUAAAGAGAAGUACAGGGUCGCCUACGUUAAAUUCUUUUUUAAAAAUUCUCUUGUUAUGCCAUGCUUUAGCUCUUUCUUUAUAAAUAAUGGCAUUUUCAUAAGCAUCACGAGGUAGUUCUUCUAACCUAUGGAUGUCAAUAAUGCUCUUGUCACCGACUGCUAAGUAAUACAUAUUAAGGGUUCUGAUGGCCCAAUAUGCUUUAUGUUGCAGCUCAAAGGGUAAGUGACAAGAUUUUCCGUAAACCAACUUGGAUGGGGUUUUUCCUAUAGGGGUUUUGUAAGCGAUCCUAUAAGCGCACAAUGCUUCUUGUAGUCUCAGGGACCAAUCUUUUCUGGUUAUUGAAACCACUUUUUAUAAUAUUUGCUUAAUCUCCCUAUUCGACACCUUUACUUGUCCAAUAGUUUGCGGAUGGUAGGGUGUUGCUACUUUGUGAUUAACUCCAUACUUAUUUAGAAGUUUAUUAAAUAUUCUUGAUAUGAAGUAUGAUCCGUCGUCGCUUAUAACGAGGUGAGGUACUCUAAAUCUAGGAAAUAUGUUGUUUUUGAAUAAUUUUAUGACCACACGAGUGUCGUUGGUAGGUGAGGCUACAACCUCAAUCCACUUAAACAUGUAGUCAACAACUACUAAGAUGUAUUUGUUUCCCAUUGAUGAUGGAAACGGUCCCAUGAAAUCUAUUCCCCAGACAUCGAAGAGUUCCACUUAUUGGAUAUUUCUUAAGGGUAUUUCGUCAUCUCUCAAGACAUUCCUGGUGCAUUGACACCGGUCACAUCUGACAAUAUAGGCAUGGACAUCGCGCCACAAUGUUGGCCAGAAAGGUCAUGCUUGGAGUAUUUUAGCGCAAGUCUUAGAUGUGUCUGCAUGUCUACCAUAUGGUGCAUAGUGAUAAUGUUUGAUUAUAUUUUCUACCUCCUCUUUGGGCACACAACGACGAAAUAUUAUGUUUGCACCUCUCUUGAAUAGAAUGGGUUCGUCCCAAUAAAAGUCUUUCACAUCUUGAAAUCACUUCUUCUUUUGUUGAUAGUUAAGCUCAUGAGGUAUGAUAUCGGCAGCUAGGUAAUUUACAAAAUCGGCGUACCAAUGUAUGUUUGUUAGUGUUAGAGCAUUUUGAAUGUUUAAUUCUAAAAGGUCGAGGUCAUCACUGUGAUUAGUUCUGACUACUACUAUAAGUCUAUCAUAGGUAAAGUCAUCGUUUAUGGGUACUAGGUAUGAUUUUAAAUGUUCUAUCCUCGAAAGGUGGUUAACAACCAUGUUUUCGAUGCCUUUCUUAUCACGAAUCUCCAAGUCGAAUGCUUGUAGAAAAAGGAUCCAGCGAAGUAAUAUAGGCUUAGCGUUCUUUUUGCUUAACAGAUAUCGAAUGUUUGUAUGAUCUAUGUAAAAUAUAAUUUUGGCUCCAACUAGAUAAGAGCGGAAUUUGUCAAUAGCAAAAACAACGACGAGGAGUUCCUUUUCGGUUGUGGCAUAAUUAAGCUGGAUGCAUCUAAGGUUCUACUGGCGUAAUAAAUUACAUGCAAUAUCUUGUCUUUCCGUUGCCCUAAAAUAGCACCAACAGCCUAAUCGCUUGCAUCACACAUAAUUUCAAAAGGUUGGUUCCAAUCGGGAGGUUGCGUAAUAGGUGCGGAGAUUAGUGCCUGUUUUAAGUGUUUGAAUUCUUCGAGACAUUUUUCUUCGAAAAUAAAUUCAACAUCUUUCAUUAAAAGGUCAGUUAAGGGUUUGGUUAUUUUAGAGAAGUCUUUGAUAAAGUGUCGAUAGAAACCGGCAUGUCAAAGAAAACUUUAGACUUCCCUAACUGACUUAGGUGGUUGGAGGUUUUCUAUAACCUCUAUCUUGGCUUUGUCAACCUCAAUGCCUCUUUCAGAUACUAUGUGUCCUAACACUAUACCUUUGGUGACCAUAAAAUGACAUUUCUCCCAAUUUAGAACGAGGUUCAAUUCCACGCAACGUUCUAGAAUUCUUUCAAGGUUGGCCAAGCCGUUUUUAAAACUGCAUCUGCAUACCAAGAAAUCGUCCAUGAAUACUUCCAUGAUCUCGUCAAGGAAAUCUGUAAGAUUGACAUCCUACAACAUUGAAAGGUAGAUGGGGCAUUGCAAAUUCCGAGCGACAUUCGUCUAUAGGCAAAUGUUCCAUAAGGGAAUGUAAUGGUUGUCUUCUCUUGAUCAUCGGGGUGAAUAAGAAUUUGGAAAAAUCCUGAGUAUCCAUCUAAAUAGAAAAAGUAAGAAUGUCUUGCUAGACGUUCAAGCAUUUGAUCAAUAAAUGGAAGAGGGAAAUGGCCCUUCCUAGUUACUUUAUAAAUUUUUCUAUAAUCGAUGCACACACGCCAAUCGUUUUUAUACGUUUAGCUACUUGUUCUCCUCUCUCGUUUUGCACGACUGUGACACCUCCCUUUUUAGGUACCACAUGUACAGAGCUUACCCAGUUCAAAAAUUUGAUAAAUUAUUCCAGCCUCUAGUAAUUUCAGCACUUUCCUUUUCACCACAUCACUCAUUAUAGGGUUUAUCCUCCUCUGAUGUUUUCUAGAUGGUUUAGAGUUUUCCUCCAGCAUUAUCCAGUGCAUGAACACAUAUGAACUUAUCCCUUUGAGAUCUAAAAUGUUAUAACCUAGAGUUGAGGGAUACUUUCUCAAUACAUAUAAGAGUUGAUUCGUCUCAUCACCAUUUAAGGUAGCGCUAACUAUGACUGGACGAUUUAGUUCUGCAUCCAAAAAAUCGUAUCUCAGAUUCUUGGGUAGCUCCUUAAGCUCUAUUGAUGGUUUCUUAGGACAUGGCAUAUGGUCUGGGUGAGUGUUAAGCAUUCAUAAAGACUUUCAUCUAUAUAAGGUUUCGUUGAUCUUUCAAAUCCUUUGUCCUCCAUUAUGGGGGUCAAGGGUAAUUUAAUCGUUUCAGUUGGUUCUCCUUGGUCUAACUCUCUUAUGCACUCAUCAAUGAUAUUGAUGGCAUAACAUGAGUCAUCUAUGGUUGGUUCCAUUAGGAAUUUUGAUAGUAUAAAUUCUACUUUUUCAUCACUAACUUCAAAAGUCAUCUUUCCUCUCUUGACAUCUAUUAUGGUUCCAGCCGUUGAUAAGAAUUGUCUACCUAGGAGGAUUGGGAUUUCGUCGUCUUUUUUAAUGUCCAUGACAACAAAAUUUGUUGGAAUAUAGAGUUGGCCAAGCCUAACUGGAAUGUCUUCUAAUAUGCAUAUUGGAUAUUUAACGGAUCUAUCGGCUAAUUGAAGGGACAUCCUAGUUUUUUGCAUUUCUCCUAGGUUUAACCUAUUACAAACGGCUAAAGUCGUUAAGCUUACACUGGCUCAUAAGUCCAGAAGUGCUUUAUCGAUAAAAUGAUUUCCUAAAAUACAAGGUAUAGAAAAACUUUCGGGGUCUUUCUCCUUUUUAGAAAGUCUUUUUCCAACAAUAUAGUUACAUUAUAAGGGUUUAGGGUCAUUAAGUCUACGUUUGUUAGUUAAGAUGUCUUUAAGGAUUUAGCAUAAGAGGGUAUUUGGGUAAUAGCCUCAGUGAAUGGAAUCUCAACGUGGAGUUUUCAGUCACUUUUAUGAAUUUUUUGUAUUGGUUAUAUAAUUUGGUUUGUUUUAAUCUUUGUGGAUAAGGAAUUGGUGGUUUAUAAGGAGGGGGUGGUACAUAUAUUUCGUUAUCCUUCACUCCUUCAUUAUCUUUGGCUUCAUAAUAUUUUUGUUUCUCAGGCUCUACUGGUUCAUCUACUUGUUUCUCAGGUGUAGUCACAAAAAUUUCCUUUAGGGGUUCUAGUUUAUUCAACCCGGGGUCUAUUGGUUCAUCGUAAGUGGUUCCACUCCGUAGGGAAAUAGUGUUAGCAUGCCCCUUGGGGUUGGGUUGAGGUUGUCAAGGAAAUUGUACUCCUGGCGUAGCUUGAGCAACUUAUUGUUGUGCCACUUAAGAGAUUUGGGUUUCAAGAAUCUUAUUAUGGGUAAUCACAAAAUCGACCUUUGUGCCUAAUUGUGUAAUCAGUCCAUUUAUAUGAAUGUUUGGGUUCAUGAAUUCUUUGUUUUGCUGAGUUUGGGAUAUAAUAAAGCUCUCCAUGAUUUUCUCAAGAUUUGAUUUCUGAGGAGCAGCUUGCAUAGGCUGGUUCGGUCUUUAGGAUUGGAAUCCUGGUGGUCUUUAAGGUGUGGAGUUUCGAGUAGGAUUGUUAUUCUUAUAGGAAAAGUUUGGGUGAUUCCUCCAUCCAGGGUUAUAAGUGUUUGAAUAAGGGUUUCCUUGGGCAUAAUUGACCUGAUCUGGGUUUGACUCAGCUAAAAGAUUGCAUUCAACUAUGAUGUGUCCUUGGUUCCCACAUAUUUCAUAUUCGAGUUGAACUGUAGCUACGGUAGUUGUAGGGUUAACAAAUAAACUUUUGACUUUUUGGACUAUGGCGUCCAUUUUGGCACUCGUAUGAUCUAGGAAAAUAACUUCGUAAAUACCUCCUUUGGUUUCUUUCUUUUCUACUGAUGCUCGUUCUAUUCCCCAUUGGUAAUGGUUUUGUCCCAUAUCUUCAAUGAGAGCAAAAUCUUCGGGGUAUGGUUUGUUCAUCAAUGCACCACCGGCGACAACAUCGAUGGUCAUCUUUGUGUUAUAGAUAAGUCUGUUACAAAAGGUAUCAAUUAUGAGCCAUUGGUCUAAACCAUGGCGUGGACAAGCUCUUAAUAGUCUGUUACAAAAGGUAUCCUUGUGCGUAAUUCACUUGAUCGGUUGGGACUCCUGCCAAUAUCUGACAUUCUAGUGCAUUGUGCCCAGGAGUUCCACAUAACUCAUAGUUUGGAGUCACGGCAGCCACGGUGGCUGCGGGUGGUAUGGUCAAGUUGUCUAACUUUUGAACAAGGGCAUCUACCUUUGCAUGGACGUGGUCAAGGCUACUGAUUUCGUACAUUCCACUUUUUGUUUGGGACUUUUCUACUGGAGUUCUUUCACCUCCCCAUUGGCAAUGGUUUUGGGCCAUGUUUUCAAUGAGUUGAUAGGCUUCGUUGUAUGGCUUGUCCAUAAGUGCACCGCCCGCGGCAGCGUCUACUGUCAGGUUUGUGUUAUACAGAAGCCCAUUAUAAAAUGUGUGAAUGAUAUCUCUCCCACACGUCGUAGAGAGAUUCUACAUCCUUUUGUCGAAAUCCAUUGAUUUGAGCUCUCAGCAUAGCAGUUUUGCUUGGCGGAAAAUAUCAGGAUAAGAAAAUGUUCUUUAGUUCUUCCCAUGUUGUAAUUGAGUUGGAUGGCAAGGAUUGCAACCAAGCCCAAGCUCUGUCUCUUAGAGAGAAAGGAAAGAGGCGUAGUCUUAUCGCAUCUUGAGAUAUACCAUUCGCCUUCACAGUGUCUGCGUACUGCACAAACUUGGUCAAAUGUUCAUUAGGGUUGUCCGUAGGAUUUCGAGCAAAUUGAUGUUGUUGGACGGCUGAUAAUAAUGAGGGUUUCAGCUCGAAAUCCUUUCGAUUGAUAGCAGGGGCAGAAAUGUUGUUAUGAGGUUCUUGUUGGGACGGGGUAGCGUAGAACUUAAGAGGACGAUUCUGUGAUUCCACUGUAGCCAUGGUUGCUUUUUCAACUAGUUCACCAGUGGGAAAGAAGAUGUCGGGAAUAUUGUACCUUCGUUGGUACUCUAGUAUUCGGAGUCUUAAAUAUAAGAAACACUUUAAUUCUACGAUUGGUGGUGCUAAGUUGUCGCCUUGUGAGCGAGUACUUGGCAUACAAUCGGGGGAAAUAAGGGAAAGAAGAUUAGUUUUUGCCUAGGCUAUACUGUGCAACAAAAGAAUCGCACUAUUUGACUAAAUCAUGUCCCCGGCAAUGGCGCCAAAAACUUGAUACGUCUCAUGAAUGUAUAUAGAAUAUAGUCUAUCGGGUACUUGACUGCAAGUGCAUAGUGUAGUCGUUUUAGUUUUAAAAGAUAUCGAACCCACAAGGACCGAUGGUCAAACUAAUGCUACCGACGUUGCAAUGUUUAGCUAAGGAAAUGAUUUUAGAGGUUUGGUUGAACAAAAAUUAAAUCUAAGGGAAGUUAAGUCUUAAGAAAAUAUAAAUAGGAGGAUAUCAGUAUGCAGUGCAUUAAUCAUCAGGGAUUCGAUAAGUCACCGGUGUAUAAUUUAAGUACCAAAUAUCUUUCAGUAGAAAAUACUUAUUUAAAAGGCUUUAUCUCACACUCUCGUGAUUGUUGAUUCAGACUAUACCUUUAAGUCAGAUCCGGUGUAUAAUUUAAGUACCAAAUAUCUUUCAGUAGAAAAUACUUAUUUAAAAGGCUUUAUCUCACACUCUCGUGAUUGUUGAUUCAGACUAUACCUUUAAGUCAGAAUGUACGCUCUCGCUGUCCUAUUUGAAGUUAAAAAUACUUUUUGAAAAUAAAUAAGUUCUAAUUGCUUUUAAAGUGCUCUCGCUGUUUUUAAAAUCAAUGCCUAGUUUUUACUAUCCAGUUCGACCCUCACGCUCUUGCGAUUGUCGGUUCUCACCUUAGCUCACUCUCGUGGCAAAAUCGUAUUAAAUAACUUCUCACUCUUGUGACAAAGUUAAUUAAAUUUAAAUUUAAAACGACAACCAAAAAGAUUGUUUGAGGAAAGAAAUUUUACACCGAUUAUUAUUAAAUCCCGUCUAAUUAAAUUGUUACAUACUGAUACCGGUAGUUUAGCCGGACAUGUUAAAUAACGCAAACACAGACGAACAUAAAUAGAUCAACAAUAAAGUAAACAUGAUUAUAGUAAUAAUAAAGCAAUAACAAUAGUAAUUGAAUAAAAACCUGGAAAUUGGAUUAAUAGAAUACGCCGAAUCUUGAAGUACUUGAGCAGUCCUCCACAGGUCGGUAGGAUUCUGCUUCUUCGAAAUAAUUGCUUAAACUAAAUUAAAUAAAUUGUAGUAGUUCCCCAGUGUAGGAAACUACUACUAUGGCUAACUGAGAAACGAAAAGGGAAAAGGGAAAAUCAAAGCUCUGAACGGUAAAAGAGAAUAAUGUUGCUGAAGAAAAAUAAAAGAAAAACAUAAUUGAUGUGGAAAAAUAAAAAUGCAGAGUGGCUUCAGAGAGGAAAAUUAGGAAAAUUCAACGUGCCGUGGAAAAAUAAAAAAUGCAGAGUGGCUUCAGAGAGGAAAAUUAGGAAAAUUCAGCAUGCCUGUAGGUUUCCAACUUCCAUCCUUUUAUAUUCCCCAUUAGGUCUUGGCAGUUGAGAGAAAUAAGGAUGACUUGGUUGAGUGAGGAAUCCACGGGAAAGUGGCCGAGGAACGAGAAAUAAGGGCCUGGUGGAUCACUUCUGUUGACAUAUUCAAAGCGCUAAUUUUGGCCGCGUGACGUUCGUGAUGGGUCUGUGACGGUCGUGACAGGCUGGGCGUGACGGUCGUGACAGGCUUUGUGACGGUCAUCACAUGCACAUAAUUUGUAUUCUCUGCUUUCCUGCUGUUUUUGAAGGAGAAUUGCGACCCAAAGCGCAGCGGAAAUUAAAAAAUUUCUCCUUUAGAGAUCCUUACGAAUGGUCAUGAUCAGUGAUAGAAUAUUUACCUCUUAUGACGGUUGAAGCCUUUGGUGAAGAUCUCUUCUGACGAUCAAAACCCUUUGAUGCAGAUCUCUUGUGACGAUCAAACCCUUUGAUGCAGAUCCACUAAACGAUCACGAACGUUGAACGAUGACAACGUCUCUACUCAGUCCACACGAACGGUUUCCUUCAAUCUCAGUGCUAGCUGGUACGAAUGAAGGCUUUGAGUAAGAGAGAGAGAGAGAGAGAGAGAAAACGAAAAGAAUGCAACCGCACUUAGUGCUUCUGCACAAGGGUUCUAUUUAUAGAACCACUUGUGUGGGCUUCAAGCUAAAAGCCCACUUAAGUGUAUUUUGGCCCAUAUCUUAUAAUAUGCCCAAAAUCACUUAAGCCCAUGGUACCUUACCAUAUUUCGUAUUCUACUCAAGUACACCGUACCUUACGAUGUUCUAUAAUUCACUUAAGGGCACCGUACCUUACGGUAUUCCUUAGUUACUCUAUCUCUCAUCAAUCCGUCCUUUGUGUGUGACCCUGUAGGUUUUCGUGACGUUGGCAAUUAUAUUAAAUCACGCAUUUAACAUAAUAAACAGUGAGCGGUAUCUAGCAACACAUCACUGCUACCCAAGACACGAAAAUGUCAUGUGAUCUGACAAUUCCUUCUGUGAUAAUACUUAUGUGUAUAAUUACCCUUUUGCCCUUAUGUCUAUAUUGAACACAAGGCAUAGACCGUGUCAUCCUUGUCCAGUUCAAUAUUGGGCCCAUAGACAUUUAUCCUGUUAUGCAGGAUGGGCAAAUUCCAUCUAGGUCACUCAUGUCCCUCAGCAUGCUUCGUGGAGUACCCAUCAACUGUCUUUAUGGUUAUCCAGUUACGGACAACGUUGGAUCAGCAAUAAAGCACUCGACUCUACAUCUAGGAUCCAUAGUGGUUUCAGGUCGAAGAGUGGUAUACACUAUUAUCACCAUGAGAAUAACUUAUGACACUUUGCAUAACUUUCUAUAUAGUAUUCUCAUAGCGGGUCAAUCCGGUAUAAAUAUUACUCCUAAUAUUCAUACCUAUGUUUAAGACUUGAUAACUCUUUAUCCAUGAUCCAUGAGAUGUGAUCAUCAGUCUACAAACAUAAUAGUCUUAAUGCUUUAAUGUUAUCCCACUUCACACUAAAGCUCGACUACGGAUACUUUAAGAAUAGUGUCCUUAUGUUUAAUGUGUUCUCAUGAUUAAGUCACACUUAAUACAUUAAACGGACUAUCUAUUCCAGGGACUUUAUUAAUCAACCAUAAUAAAGAAAAUGCCUUUUAUUAUUCGAUACAAGUACCAAAAUGUAUUGGCCUCUAGGGCUUACACCAACAAUCUCCCACUAGCACUAGAGCCAAUCAGGCAUACCCCGUAUGCCCAUUGAUCUAGUAUGGCCAUCAUGCUUCUGCUGCGCAAGAGGCUUUGUCAGUGGGUCAGCUAUAUUGUCAAGUGUAGGUACUUUACAUAUUUUCACAUCUCCUCUAUCUAUUAUCUCUCGAAUGAGAUGAUAACGCCUAAGUAUGUGUUUGGAUCGUUGGUGAGAUCUAGGCUCCUUAGCUUGUGCGAUAGCACCAUUGUUAUCAUAAUAGAGACCAAUGGGAUCCACAAUGCUAGGGACUAUGCCAAGUUCACUAAUGAACUUUUUGAUCCAAACAACUCCCUUUUCUGCAUUUGAGGCAGCAAUAUACUCGGCCUCGGUUGUAGAAUCAGCAACUGUAUCUUGCUUUGAACUUUUCAAGCUCACAGCGCCACCAUUUCAGCAAAACACAUAACCAUUGGAAUCAUUCAUAUUAAAGCGUCUCAGCACCUUGUCUAUGUACUCUGACUUAGGCCAAGCAUUUUAUGAUCUAUCUCUAUAGAUUCUGAUUCCUAAUAUAUAGGCUGCUUCACCUAGGUCCUUCAUAGAUAAGCAUUUCCCCACCCAAGACUUUGCUUGUUGCAGGGUAGGGAUAUCGUUUCCAAUGAGUAAUAUGUCAUCUACAUAUAAUACCAGGAAUACGAUCAUGCUCCCACUAACCUUCUUGUAGACACAAGGCCCAUCUUCGUUCUUAACAAAUCCAUACAGUUUCACUGUUUCAUCAAAACGAAGAUUCCAUGAGUAGGUCACAGGCUCAUCUUGAUCCAUGAGUAAUACAUCACCUAGAUCAGAUAUCCAUAUAUCUUGGUCAGGUGACGUAUCCUGCCUGACCUACGCUGGUCUUGUUCUACUUGAGCAGGUUGCUCUUACACAACUACUUGUGUCUCCUGCUCCAAUUCCUCCAUAGGUGUGUCGAUGCUUUGUGAUUCUUGAAUUUCUUCAAGCUCUACUUUCCUCUCACUGGUUCCUUUGGAAAUAAAAUCCUUUUCUAGGAAAACUCCAGUUCGAGCGACAAACACUUUGCCCUCAAAAGGAUUGUAGAAGUAAUACCCUUUUGUUUCUUUAGGAUACCCCACAAAUAAGCAUUUAUCAGAUUUGGGCUCAAGCUUAGUUGAAAUUUGUCGUUUCACAUAAACCUCGCAACCCCAAAUCUUCAUGUAAGACAUAUGUGGUCUCUUACCACUCCAUAUCUCAUAUGGUGUCUUAUCAACCUUUUGGAUGGAACACGGUUAAGUGUGUAAGCUGNNNNNNNNNNNNNNNNNNNNNNNNNNNNNNNNNNNNNNNNNNNNNNNNNNNNNNNNNNNNNNNNNNNNNNNNNNNNNNNNNNNNNNNNNNNNNNNNNNNNNNNNNNNNNNNNNNNNNNNNNNNNNNNNNNNNNNNNNNNNNNNNNNNNNNNNNNNNNNNNNNNNNNNNNNNNNNNNNNNNNNNNNNNNNNNNNNNNNNNNNNNNNNNNNNNNNNNNNNNNNNNNNNNNNNNNNNNNNNNNNNNNNNNNNNNNNNNNNNNNNNNNNNNNNNNNNNNNNNNNNNNNNNNNNNNNNNNNNNNNNNNNNNNNNNNNNNNNNNNNNNNNNNNNNNNNNNNNNNNNNNNNNNNNNNNNNNNNNNNNNNNNNNNNNNNNNNNNNNNNNNNNNNNNNNNNNNNNNNNNNNNNNNNNNNNNNNNNNNNNNNNNNNNNNNNNNNNNNNNNNNNNNNNNNNNNNNNNNNNNNNNNNNNNNNNNNNNNNNNNNNNNNNNNNNNNNNNNNNNNNNNNNNNNNNNNNNNNNNNNNNNNNNNNNNNNNNNNNNNNNNNNNNNNNNNNNNNNNNNNNNNNNNNNNNNNNNNNNNNNNNNNNNNNNNNNNNNNNNNNNNNNNNNNNNNNNNNNNNNNNNNNNNNNNNNNNNNNNNNNNNNNNNNNNNNNNNNNNNNNNNNNNNNNNNNNNNNNNNNNNNNNNNNNNNNNAACAUGCACCUCGCUUUGGCGAAACCUACAUUAUUCGAUACUAGUCUUGAUGAGUGCUAAAACUUGGAAAGCAUAAACUUAAUAUUUUAGUUUGAGGGAAUUGCAAUUGUUAUGAUCUCACCGGCUUAUUUAUCAUAUAAAUCGUCUCUCACAUGCAUCAACAUACAUUCACAUGCAUCAACAUACAUACACAAUGAAACAGUUAUGGCCCCUAGCGCAAUUGUUCUCCCAAGCCAAUGAGAGAACCUAAGCUAACCUAAUAACGAUCUAAGCUUCUCCAAGCAAGAUCUUCAAGGUUGUCCUCCUUUAGUAUUGAAUUCUUCUCUAAGCUUCUCCAAGCAAGAUCUUCAAGGUUGUCCUCCUUUGAUCUUGAAUUCUUCUCUUUCUUCAUAUCAUUAUUCUCCUUUGAUAUUGAAUACUUCUCUUUCUUCAUAUCAUUACAUUACAGAAGAAACUCGUUUUACAUACGAGGGAUUGAGAUGAGAAAAGAAUUUACAUUAAGAGAUCAAAAGGAGAGGCACGACACGCAGGUCGUAUUUAAAAACCCAAAACAAAAUAAAAGAAGACUAAGGCCAUAACUGAUCACAACAAGGCAACAAUAAUAAACACAUUAUUAUUAUUAUUAUUAAUCUCAAUUCCUUUAAUGAAUUAAAACCAAAUUAAAUUUCGGCGACCGAUCACACUACGCAGAGUUAGCCGGGGUUUCCAAAAUUUUAAUGAACAAUUCAUUUGAAAUGGACAUUGUUUUUGCAUCAACACAACUCUUGCGUAGGCACAAAAUCAGAAACCCAAAAUUUUGACUCUGGGAGUGUGACGACCAUCACAGGCGUGUGACGAGCGUCACAGGCCAUGUGAGUGUGACGAGCGUCACAGGGCACGUUACGACCGUCACAGAUCAAAAACAGAAAAGCCUAAAAUUCUGUGAGUGUGACGACCGUCAUGGGUGUGUUAUGAAGUUACUUAAUCAUGAGAACACGAUUAAACAUAAGGGACACUAUUCGCUAAAGUAUCCGUAGUUCGAGCUUAUGUGAAGGGAUAACAUAAAGCAUUAAGACAUUUAUGUUUGUGAGACUGAUGAUCCAUUCUCAUGGAUCAUGGAUAAAGAGUUAUCAAGUCUUAAACAUAGGUAUGAAUAUUAGGAGUAAUAUUCUAUACCGCGAUGACCCGCUAUGAGUAAUCUAUAUAGAGACACGUUAUGCAAAGUGUCAUAAGUUAACUUGCUCAUGGUGAUAAUAGGUAUUCACCUCUUCGACCUGAAACCACUAUGGGAUCCUAGGUGUAGAGUCGAGUGCUUUAUUGCUGGAAUUCCAGACGUGGUCCGUAACUGGAUAACAUAAAGACAGCUGAUGGGCUACUCACAGAAGCAUGCUGAGGGACAUGAGUGACCUAGUGGAAUUUGCCCAUCCUUGCAUAACAGGAAUAAAUGUCUACGGGUCCCAAUAUUGACACUAAGAGCAUAGGUAUGACGACCGUCUAGACUUGUGUCAAUAUAGACAUGAAGGCAAAAGGGGAUCAAUUGAUACACAUCAAGUAUCUAUCACAGAAGGAAUUGUUCAGAUCACAUGACAUAUUUCGUGCCUUCUGCGGUAGCACGCAGCGCUGAUGUGUUGCUAGAUAGCCGCCGUCACUGCUCUAUUAUGUUUUACCAAUUACAUGAUUUAAUAUAAUUGCCAAAACGCGCGCCGGAACAACCUACAUGGUCACACACAAGGACUGGAAUUGCAUGAGAGAAUAGAGUAUACUACUACGGAAUUAUCGUAAGGUAACGGUCGGCCCUUAUGCCGAUUACUAUAAGAACAUAGUGCAUGUAACAGGUUACGCGUGGGUACAUCUUGAGUUAUGCAAUACGACAAUAUAGGUACAGGUACCAUGGACGUAAGUGAUUUUGGGAUAUUAUAAGAUAUGGGCCAAAAUACACUUAAGUGGGCUUUUAGCUGUAAGCCCACCACAAGUGUGGUCUCUUGAAAUUAGAACCCUUGUGCAGAAGCACUAAGUGGCGGUUGCCAUUCUUUUGUUCUUCUUUCUCCUCUCUCUCUUGCCACAAGCUUCAUUCUAACCAGCUAGCACUGAGAUGAGAACGGAACCGUGUCAGUAGCGACCUGAGUAGAGACGUUGUCACGUGCUUCACUAUGUGUGCAUCCGUUUAGUGUGAUCUGCAUCAAAGGUUUCGAUCGUCACAAGAUGAGAUCUGCAUCAAAGGUUUUGAUCGUCAGAAGAGAUCUUCACACAAGCUCACCGUCAUAGAGCGUAAAUAUUCUACACUGAAUGCAUGACAUUCAAGGUCUCUGAAAGGAGAAAUUUUUUAAUUUCGGACUGCGCUUUGAGGUCGCCAAUUCUUGCAGUGUGUACAGGCCCAUUACGACCAGGAUGAAUCGGAUAGGUGUUUAAUGUUCGCUGGCAUUAAUAUUGAUUAAAGACAAAUGAAUUAUUGAAUUAAACGGUGCAAUUAAAUUUGGAUCAUGGGUACGAGCUUCGGAUGAUGAUGUUGAUAUGCUUCGGAAUCCGACGAUUAGUAUGGAAGAAGCAGCUGAGUACAUCGAUCGUCCAUAGGUUACACAGAUUAGAGCAUCGAACUUUAUAUAUAUUACGUAUCUAUGCAAAGGUACCGGGGAUAUGUUAUGUAUACGUCAUGUUUUCAUUCAUCGAAACACUAAAUGAUUGUUUCUCUUGAAGCAUCCAAUGGUUUCAUUUUUGGCUUCGGGAAUUCGACAAUAGUAUGGCUAAGAAUGACCUGUUGACAAUUCAUACAACUGAAUCAACAAUCGGAGGUUGUUGGACGCCGUCUGAAAUUGGCGCCAUUAGUGGUGCGGUGACGAGCCAAGGCGAUGUGCCGGUCAGGAGUUGCUGAAUUUAGGGCUUGCGAAGGAGGCUCCGUAGACCUGUUUCAAAGUCCCUAUUAUUGUUGGAGCCUGCGGAAGCUCUGUGAUGCGAGCGGUUGACUGUUCAAAGUUUGUACUUUGGGCUGCGUGAGUCGUGUGGUACGAGCGUAACAAGCGUAACAACUGAGUAUGUGUGACGUGCGUAACCACACCCAUGACGGUCGUCACACUACAGAAUUUUAGGCUUUUUCUUUUUGAUCUGGGACGGUCGUAACGUGUCCCCUGUGACGCUCUCACACUCACAUGCCUGUACGACGCUCGUCACACCGCUGGAUGCGUCACACUCCAGAGUCAAAAUUUUGGGUUCUGAUUUGUGCCUACGCAAGAGUGUGUUGAGGCAAAAACAAUGUCCAUUUCAAUGAAUUGAUUAUAAAAUUUUGCGAAACCCGCUAAUGUCUGCGUAGUUGAGUUCGGGCGCCGCAAAUUAAAUUGUUCUAAUUCACCUUAAAGUGGAUAUCUGAGGAUAAAAGAAUUAAUAAGGUUGUUUUUAUUGUGUGGCGUGCGUUGUGUGGAUCAGUAUGGCCUUAGUCUUCUUUUAUUGUGUCUUUGGCGUUUUUAAAUGACGACCUGACUGUCGUCGGCUCUCCUUUGGAUGCUAAUCGUAAAUCUUCUUUCUAUCUCAAUCCUCGAAUUGCUAAAACGAUGUUCUUUUAAUGGUAAUAUAUGAAAGAAGAGAAGCUAUUCAAUUGAUCAACAGGAGAAUCAAAUAAUGAUAUGAAGAAGAGAAGAAUUCAAGAUCAAAGGGAGGCAACUUGAGAUCUGCUUGGAGAAGCUUAGAAGAGAAGUUCAAUACUAAAAGGGACGACAACCUUGAGGAUCUCGCUUGCCGAGAAGUGUUAGAUCAGGUUACUAGGCUUAGCUUAGUUCUCUCAUUGGCUGGGGUGGAGAACAAUUGCGCUAGCGGGGAACAUAAUGUUUCAUUGACUGCCUUAUUUACUGUGAUGAUGUGUAUGUAUGUUGAUGCAUGUGAGCAGACAUUAUAUGAUAAAUCAAACGCCGGUGAGAUCAUAACAAUUGCAAUUCCCUCCAACCUACGAAUAUUGUAAAGUUUCAUGCCUUCCAAGUUUUAGCACUUCAUCUAACGCACUAGUAUCGAAUCUAAGUAGGCUUGCCAAACCGAGCUGCAAGUUUUAUAUUGGUCUAUGUUUCCUCGGACUCUCCCGUGCGAUGCGGAUAAUGCUAAUAUCCAACUGCUAAAACAAUGGCCCGUCAAACUAACUAACAAAUUAUAGCAACAAUCCUAUAUUAUGUUUGCUCUUCAAAGUCUUUUAGCCACUCAUCCAAGACUAGUAUCGAAUAUGAUGGUUUCGCCAAGAGCGAGUGCAUUUCUAUAUUUGCGUAAGGUGCGAUGGGCAUAAUUGUAAUAUCAACUGCUAAAACCAAUGGCGUCAAACUAAUCUUAUAUUGUUCCUUCAUAUAUGUUUACGAAUGCAAGAGUGGACAUGAUCCCAUAUGAUGGAUCAUGGCAAUAAGGAUUUAUUCACCCAUACUGGCAAACUUCCGAGAGUUGCUAUGAGAUGAGUACAAUUUGAAGCGAGUUCCCUCACCUAAUAUAACCUAGUUUUGUCUGUAAUCCUGCGCUACUGCGCGACUUAAGAACGAAGCUGAAAUAGCGAGAUCUCGAUCCCACUACAAAUACUCCAACGAUUUUUCCGAAUCAAAUGAUGAGCGCCGUUCAUUUUGUUGAGGAUAAAAUAUGGGGGAGCAUAGUUGACUUAAAGCGCCUACAUAAUAUGAUCAAUGAUACUGUAUAUUUUCUUCAAUCCUUAUUCGGUAGAUAACCAUGACAGCAAAAACCUCUACAACAUACUUGCCCGCAUCAAUCCUUGACAAAGAAAAUUGUCUGGACAAAAUAUUUCGGGGCAAUUUUGGAGCCGAAACCUGAGGAUUGUCCUGCAAACAUGAUAACAACGGCCUGUUGCAUGCUUUGGAGCCACUGCUUUCUGAGAAGAACCUCUAGUUUGCCACCUAAGGACAGCUUUAUAGAGGAUGCUACGAAGACGUGAUGCUCAUUGAAAAGGUUGAUCUCUGCUAAUGCUCCAUGGACUCAGAACUUGCAAAGCAACAGGAACAUGUCAGCGUCCGACUAUGAUCGAACACCUGAAGUUGCUCUAUCGGCAAGCUAAGGCGAUGGAGCCGUUUGAAGUUCUCAACAAGGUCUUUUCCAAAGCAAUUGCAGAGGGGGCCCCUGUGAAAGCGUCCCCCAGUACUAGAUGAUUGGGUAUUGCUGGAACCUUGAGAGAUUUGGCUUGUCCCUCGAAAAGGAACUUGCGACUUGAUUUGAUCUUGCCAAUGAGUUGCCAGAUGAUUUCAGUCUAAUUUGUCCUAAAGUUCACGAUUGAAUGAUCUGGACAAAUGCUCUUCCUGACUGCCUACGCCAUGUAAGAACUGCUGAGCCAGAAUCUGAAGUCAAAGGGAAUCACAUUCAUGGAUGAUCGGAAAUGGAAAGAUGCAGAACCAAAAGGCCCACUAAGCCCAGACGCCAGUGAGAAGGGGCGAAGGGCAAGAAGGCUUGCACAAUCCCAGAAACCCACGGUGCCCUAGCUUUGAAAGCCUCAGUGGAGGCAUAGCAAAAAGAAGGCACCUGCUUCCAUUGCCGGUAAAGACCGGCGGACAUGGCAAGACGAAAACGCCCAAAGUACCUGGCAAGAUUAACGCAAGAAUGAGAUAGAGACUGUCAACUUCAGUGUAUUUUGUUAUUAAUUCAUCUACUUCUGGCAUCCAUGGGUAUUAGAUACUGGAUGCGCGGUCUCACACUUGCAACAAAUGUGCAGGGGUGAAAGGGAGUUAGAGAUUUUGGCAAAAGCAGUGAAGUGACUACGAGUGCCANGUGUUCUCAUGAUUAAGUCACACUUAAUACAUUAAACGGACUAUCUAUUCCAGGGACUUUAUUAAUCAACCAUAAUAAAGAGAAUGCCUUUUAUUAUUCGAUACAAGUACCAAAAUGUAUUGGCCUCUAGGGCUUACACCAACAGUUUUCUCUUCUGUUUCUUCUUCUUUUCCUUCCUUUUCUAUACUUUUCUCAUUUAAGGAUGGGAGUUGAAAUACAUGCAAAAAUAAAUCGAACACUUGCGGAAUAAUCGGAAUAUAAAUGAAAGUGGUACAAUUUUUGAGUGUAAAUCAAGACAAAUAUACGAUGUAUUUUCACGUUAUCAGUUAUUCUAAGAAAUCUAAUCACAACCAAAUGGUUAAUGAUCAAUACAACAAACACAAGAUUCAAAAUGUAAUCAAAAUUAUGAUCCAAACUAUGUUAAUCCGGUGAUCAAAGCAAUCGACAUUUUGUGAGUCAAAAAAUAAAAGAGAUAGAGAGAAAGAGAGAGUACACAAGGAUUUAUUUAGGCAGUUCCCUAAUAGACCUCUCUAUGGGUACGUCUACCCUCAACUCGAAUUCGAAUUAAGAUAUUAAUAUAAUAAAUCUUACUAUGCAAAUGUAUGAAUACAAGAGGUGAGAAAUCAAAUCCCACAAACCCUAAGUUCUUUCUUGACUCUAGCACAUCCAAAAAUCUUGAUCAAAGAUUGAUUAAGUCACCAACAAUGCCGCUUCAAUUCACCUGUUGUUGGUACUUCCUUGCAUGACCUCCUUGUCUCAACGCUCUCACCUGGAUGAAUUAAUUCCAAGCCCACACUUGUUGAAACCAAUAUUUUUCAACAUGAUCUAUCAUUUCAAGCUACUCCCUUUUCAACACACCUAGUCUCAAGGCUUUCACUCGAUCGGAUACGAAUUGCAUAAUCUUGUCAAAAACCUUCAAACCCUAAAGAUUUUGAAGGAAAACUCCAAACCGGUUUUCUUAUUUGAAUCCCUCAAAGAUUGCAACCCAAUAUUCUCGGUACAACAAAUAUAAUUGGAUGUUAUCAAUCCUAAUUUAGAUGGCAACCAGUCAAAAAAUGAUUAUGUGUAGUUUGCUUGUUUGUAUGCAUAGAUUGAAUUGGAGAUGAUGAGAUGCUUUGAAAUUCUGGAUUCAUGUAGGUUUUACUUACCCUAGAAACCUUACUAGAGAAUGAUGCAUGUAUGGAGUAUUUAUAUACAUGAGUGAUUUAGGGAAAAAGGAAAUGAAAAGGAGGAUAGAAAAAUAUGAAUUUUUGAAGACAAAUAUCAGAUAGGUCAACUUAUACAAGUUAUGUGUCGACAUGUUCGUUGCAUAGGUCGACCAGUCCAAGGUCAUGUGUCGAUCUAUGAUAAUUAUGUGCUCCCUAUAUGUGAUCUAAAUACUCGACACAUAAAAUAGAGGCCACAUGCUUUAAUAUGGAAUCAUACGCGUCGACCUAUAGACUUCAUGUAUCGACUUAUAGCCAAGGAAAUGUUUCCAUAGGUCGACCUAUAGCCAGAAGAGUUUUUCAUAGGUAAGCCUAUAGCUCUAUGUGUCGACCUGUACUACUAUUUUUCAUAAAAAAUGAUUUUUCAUGCAUGUUUGAUGCAUGAGACCUUUCCCACAUUGUUUCCAAAUACUUUUAUGCUUCCUAAUGCUAAUAUGCACAUAGAGAUUCAGAAGAUACCAUUCAAUAUAUAUUUACGCUAAAGUAUCCUAGUUUUGACAUCAUACAAAAACACAUCUAACAUAAGUUGCACUCACAUACUCCCCCUUUUUAUGAUGGCAAAACUUGAGACGGUGCUAUGCGUUUGCAAUGAAAAGCUCCCCCUGAAUGUAUGCACCAUACAACUUCAUUCAUCUUCAUCUUACUUCUCCGCCUUUGACAACAUCAAAAAGAAAUGAAACAAUCCACGAGAAGAAUCUAAAAUCACACAUAAACGAAUAUAACACACAGAGGCGUUUUGUAAAGAUAAGAAAAUCAAUAUGAUAACACUCACAUAUAAUGAUUGGUAUAUUGAAAAGAAAUACUUAAACAUAAUUACAAGACAAUAAUGCAACAAUAGAACAAAUUGUCACAACUUAUGCCACAUAAUCACAAUACAAUCAUGAAAAAUGAAGGAUACAAAAUGAACACGAAAUACUUGACAUGCUACAAAAACGACAUUAUUACAUGAUAUACGCCUUUAGUGCUCCCGAAAUGCUUCACACGUAUGUUCUCUAGCAAGGCAAUAAACAAAGUACCAUCAUACAAACCAAAAACAUAGCUGAAAACAUAAUAAUGACACACAAUCAAGGAUAUUAUUAAUAAUGUAACAAGUUCAAUCAUAAAUCAUGAGAAAAAUAAAUAACAAACUGAUGCACCAAUUACUAUAUUUCAAGGAGAAUGAAGAUAGCACAACAUCACUAUAAGCAUAUGUAUUGACAUACAUCAAUUGCACAUGUUGGAAGUGAUCAUACGUGAACUAUCUUAUAUGUCAAGAACAUGAAUCAUAUGGACCAUAAACAACAUGCAAAAAGAGAAAGCUAACACAUAACAACGGAAAAUGAAAUAAUAGUACCUUGCUUGUGUAAUGAUGAGGAAUGCAUUCUUAUGAAGUAUGCUUGUCAAUAAAUGUUAGAUAGACAAGAAAUAUUCAAAGUACAUUAACAUAACAUUUAGGUAAGUGUUGAGAUGCCAAGAAUUCCUAAAUCAUGUCGAAUGUUAAAGAAGGGUUCUGACGCAAGUGGUUUUAUAAAAAUAGCGGCUAGUUGAUUUUUACUAUCAACAUGCUCAAAAACAACGUCGCCUUUUUCAACGUGAUCGCGUAGAAAGUGAUGACGAAUUUCAAUAUGCUUAGUAAGUGAAUGUAGCAUCGGGUUCUUAGUUAGGUUAAUGUCACUAGUGUUGUCGCAAAACAUUGGAAUAUGAUUUAGUUUUAUAUCAAAAUCAAGUAAUUGUUGUUUAAGCCACAAAAUUUGAGCACAACAACUACCGACCGCUACGUUUUCCGCCUCGGCAGUUGACAAAACAACUAAAACUUAUUUCUUGCUAUGCCAACUAACUAAGGAAUUUGAAAAUAUGUGAAAAGUCACACUAGUGUUUUUCCUAUCCGACUUGCAUUUGGAAAAAUCGGAAUCAGUGUUACCAACUAAGCUACAAUCACUCCCUUUGGAAUAUCGAAGCCCAUAAUUUGAAGUACCAUGAAGAUAACUAAAAAUACGUUUGACGACUUUGAUAUGAGAUUCCUUAGGGGCCGAUUGAUAUCGAGCACAAAUACAAACACUAAACAUGAUAUAUGGUCUAGAUGUAGUGAUAUAUAUAUAUAUAUAGAGAACCUACCAUACCUCUAUAUUUCUUCACUUCCACAUCCUUACCAUUUCCGUUUCUUUCCAAGUGUCCAUUCGUAGCCAUCGGAGUGUCAGUCGGCUUUGCAUCAACCAUGCUAAAUAUCUUUAGCAAGUCCUUGCAAUAAUGGUGUUCCAAAUAUCUUUCCACGACUACCUCUAUGGAUAAUGCCAUGUUGAAUGUCAUGCUUACAUUUUACUCAUAUUUCUCGUUUUUCCUCUAUUUUGCUUAGUUUCGUCGAGUAAGGCCUUUUCUAGGCCGUGUACCUAAAAACAAGGAAAAAUACCAGCAUAACAAUAGAAAUGAUAAUAAAAGGGUGGUAAAACAUGUGCAAUCCAAGUCAAAUAUGUAGUGUGUUUUGAUGUUAUCACUCUAUUAUACGCCCCUUUAGGUUCGAUAUUCAUUAUCUAAUAAGCAAAUCUUAAGACUGGAAAAAACCUGAAGCUCGUGAUACCACUUGUUAGAUGAUAGAUCUAGAUCUAAAGGGGGCGAAUAGAUCCCAAGUUAAAAAAUUAUUUAAACUUUGAUUUAGAAAUUUUUGGCGCGGAAGCAUGUUUCAAAUAUUUCAUGGAUUAGAAAUCGUCUAAUCGAACCUACUAUUGAAAAGCCUGAAUAUGCGUAGUAGUACCAAUAUAAUGAUAAUAAUCCACAAGUAAAUAAAAGAGAUAGAGAGAAAGAGAGAGUAUGCAAGGAUUUGUUUAGGCAGUUCCCCAAUCAACCUCGCUAUAGGUACGUCUGCCCUCAAUUCGAAUUCGAAUUGACAUAUUAAUAUAAUAAAUCUUACUUUGCAAAUGUUUGAAUACAAGAGGCGAGAAAUCAAAUCCCAUAAAUCCUAAGUUUAUUCUUGACUCUAAUACUUCCAAAAACCUUGAUCAAAGAUUUAUAAAGUCACCAACAAUGCCACUUCAAUUCACCUAUUGUUACUACCUCCUUGCACGACCUCCUUGUCUCAAGGAUUUCACCCAGCUGAAUUAAUCCCAAGCGCGCACUUGUUAAACCCAAGAUUUGUCAACACGAUCCACCAUUUCACGCUACUCCCUUGCCGACACACCUAGUCUCAAGGCUUUCAGUCGAUCGGAUCUGAAAUGCAUAAUCUUGUCAAAAACCUUCAAACCCUAAAGAUCUUAAAGGAAAACUCCAAACCAGUUUUCUUAUUUGAAUCCCUCAAAGAUCGCAACCCAAUAUUCUCGGUACAAUAAACCUAAUUGGACGUUAUCAAUCAUAAUCUAGAUGGCACCCAAUUAAAAAUUGACUAUGUGUAGUUUGAUUGUGUGUAUGGAUAGAUUGAAUUGAAGAUGAUGAGCUGCUUUAAAAUCCUAGAUUCAUAUAUGUUUUACUCACUCUAGAAACCUUACUAAAGAAUGAUCCAUGUAUGGAGUAUUUAUAUGCAUGAGUGAUUUAGGAAAAAAGGAAAUGAAAAGAAGGAUAGAAAAAUAUGAGUUUUUAAAGACAAAUAUCGGAUAGGUCGACCUAUACAUAUUAUGUGUCGACCUGUUCGAUGCAUAGGUAGACCUGUCCAAGGUCUUAUGUCCACCUAUGACAAUUAUAUGCUCCCUAUGUGUCGAUCUAAAGACCUGGCACAUAAAACAAAGGCCACAUGCUUUAAUACAACAAUAUACAUGUCAACCUAUAGAAUUCAUGUGUCGACCUAUAUCCAAGGAAAUAUUUCCAUAGGUCGUCCUGUAGUUCUAUGUGUCGACCUAUAUCCAAAAUGUUUUUUCAUAGGCCGACCUAUAAUUCUAUUUGUCAACCUGUACUACUAUUUUUCACAAAAGUUGAUUUUUCAUGCAUGUUUGAUGCAUAAGACCUUUCCCACAUUGUUUCCAAAUACUUUUUUGCUUCCUAAUGCUAAGAUGGACAUAGAGAUUCAGAGGAUAUCGUCUAAUAUACAUUUACGCUAAAGUAUCCUAGUUUUGAUAUCAUACAAAAACACAUCUAAUGGAAGUUGCAUUCACACAACAGAGUCGCCAUCAAACUUUAUUUAUUCUCGAAGGAAGCGAAAACAUCGAUAAAACCCAAGGGGAAGAGAAAAAAGGGUAAGGAAGUAGGUUAUGCAAGGGGAACUUAUUAACAUCCCUCACAUCCGUUGUACUCAACGAGAACCAUUUCAAUUGUUCUUUGCAAGAACGAGUGUUACGAUCUAAAGAUUACUCACGAAAGGAUAAUGGAAAGAUAAUAAUAAAUAAAUGUGCUCGACAAGGAUGCGAUCUCUUGUGCCUACGUAUUCUCAUCAUGCAAUAAGGAAAUCAGAGCUCCGUAGUUCAUGGUAGAAAAUACGGAUGCGUUAAUUGUUUUUAAUGAAUAGUUUUAACAUUCGCGUUCUACAAUCAACUUGCUUGUAUGAUCGAGCAUGGGAGACUUAAGAGUUUGUUUGUUUGCAAUAGAACAGACGCCCUUGGAUCAUACUCUAGCAAUUAAACAUUACUUUUAUGCUUAUGCAUGAAGGCUUAAGCUUCAUUCACGGUAGAACGAAAGUAACAUGUCCUUUCUGAAAAGGUUUUGAAAAGGAAAUGAUGCCUAAAGGAAAAAACGAGUUUGAUGAGUUGAGUUUGCUUUUAUUCUGAAAAGAAAGUCCUAAUUUGAAUUAUACAAAAGUCUAUGAAUGGAGGUGAGUACCAUGAGCAACUUGGUCAUUCGUCCUGUACCCAAAGAUAUCUAGAAUGAGGAUAUGAAUUCUCCCUCUCACCCCUUCUACAUUUCUUAAGGAUUGCAGCGUAUAAAUCUAAUUAUAUUUUUAAUUAUUUUUGAAUUUAUUCACAAAAAAUGGUUUUAGUCUUAGUGAAACAAAGAAAGAAAAAGGGAAAGAAAAUCCUAGAGGGUUGAGAGCUUGAUCUUCAGUAUGCAUGCAUCAUUUGUGUAGAAAGACUUAUCAGUUAUUCGAUUUAAAUUGCACUAAAGUCUAUAAAUAUAGGUGAAUACGAUGAGCAACUGGGCUAUUCGUCCCGUACCCAAAGAUAUUAAGAAUGAAGAUAGGAAUGGUCCCUUUCAUCCCUUCUCUACUACUUAAGGUUCAUGACGUGCAAUUUGCAUCAUAACUGUCGAGUGUUGAAGUUGAACCUUUGUAGUGCUUGAACAUAAAUCCAGUUUGUCUGCAAUGUCUAACUUGUAUUAAAUGGGAAGUCUUGAACUUGAUGAUAUCUUGAGAUCCAGUGCAUCAAGUAAAGGAAAAUUGUCCUAUCAAGUGUAGCACCUCAAAUUUUCCCCCCUCAUUCAUGCAUUCAUUUUUAGGUCAUUUAACAUUUCAUAUUGCAUUUCAUCAUGUCAAUCAGAAUUAGAUCCAAGAAGCUUGAAUAUCAUCCAAGACACUCUCAUUCAUGCAUUCAUUUUUAGGUCAUUUAACAUUUCAUAUUGCAUUUCAUCAUGUCAAUCAGAAUUAGAUCCAAGAAGCUUGAAUAUCAUCCAAGACACUUUGUGGGUUCUAUCUGGGUGAUCAGAAAACACAAGGGAAUGACUUGAGUUACUUCCAACAUGUUCAAAUUGGGUCUAUUCAUCAUUCAAAACGCUAAUCUUGAAGGAGCAAAAGUCUGUUCCUGAGCUGUCAUGCUCACUAGGCGAGCAAAUUCUUCGCUAGGCGAAGCGCACGCGUUUUAAAAAUAAAAAAUAUAUAUAACAGAAAAAUCUUGGACUUGGACCUCUCUCAUUUGAGCCCACCAAGCCACGAAAAUCAGGUUAUAAAUUCUAAAAAUUCAGUGGAAAAACCCUAGAAGAGCUAACAAAAUUCAGAGCAGCCUCCAUAGACACUGAAGAAAAAACUCCUUUGCACAGGAUCACCUCUACCAAUUCCAUCUCAUAUAAACCCUAAGAUUGUUUUGCAAACCCAACCGGGCAAUUCAAUUUCAUUCGAUCUCUCCAAUCAGGUUUGCCCUAUCUCCAUUACUUUAUGCUUUCAAUUUGAAAUUUCUGAAUGUAUGAGGCAUCAUGGGUGAAUUUGGAAGNUUUUUAUCCAUGUGGUAGAUCUCUUGAUCCCUUUAUCUUUCCCGCAUUUUACCGCUUUCUUAGCUGGAAGACCUCGAUAGGAGGCGAUGUUUUUUGUGUGUUUACUUUUGUGCCCAAAGACCUCCAAGAAGAGGCACCAGUGCUAAAGACCUUCACGAAGAGGCAAUUAAUGGAUAAAAGGGAUUAGUAGUCAAUCCCCCGUUAUUCAGUGUGUCGUUCUUUAUGCUCGCACUACGUGUCGAUGCUUCAGAACAACAGCCCAAGAUCUUUUGUCCGGUCAGUCAGUGGAGAGGGUUCCACCUUUAUGAAUCCCCACUUUUUGUUAUGAGCUCACCUUGUCCAGGGUUAAGAGCUAUGCGGUCUUAUCCUCAUUACCCUUUUGAUCUGCUCACCCUGACGUUCAGUGUCAGUGGUUAAGAGCCCGUUCGAUUACCCUUCCAUGGCUUGUUUGUCGAGGUUGAUAUGACCCCUCUUGACUAAAGCCUUACCCAUGUAUGUUUGAGCCCCCUUGUUGGCGUGUUUACUUUAUGCAUGUUUGUUUUGUAUGGUGUGAUCAUCUCCCCAUAGGAUUGCUAGGCUUCGUAUAGUCUCUCGUUUGCAUGUCAAUUAAGGUAGCACGGUUCCUUCGUCUAGGACUUCCUUUUUUGCAUGAGCAUUCCUAAAACACAAACAAACUCAUUGAUUUUUCUUCUCCUAAGAACACGUUAACUCCUUCUACUACAGGCGAGUAAGUCUCCAAAGGUCGAGCAUCCGGUAGAUUGCGUAGUGACGUCGUUCGUCCAAAACCCAAUCCAUAACCCCGUAGUUAGCCGAACUACGGCUUGCUCUGAUUCUCAUUCCAGAUGAGAUACGUAGGCAUAAGACGCGAUGUCUUAGCGAGCACACAAUCCCCCAACCCAUAGGUCAGCCGAGCUACGAAGACUCUGAUUCUCAUAUUCAGAUGAGAUACGUAUGCAGUGGAUGCGACAUCUGUGCGAGUCAUUUUCUUUUGACCCCUAUUUUAGUAAAUAGUACAUUAGAUAAACCCGCACCCUUUAGACAAGAACAACAAGAGUGGAUCCCGUAGAGUACUACGGAUGCGUAGGGGUGCUAAUACCUUCCCUUCGCAUAAUCGACUCCCGAACCCAAGAUUUGGUUGCGAGACCUUGUCUUUUCCUUUCCUUUUUCCAGGUUUACUUCGAGCGUUUCCUUUCCCUCCUUUGGGAUAAAUAACGCACGGUGGCGACUCUUCUGUCAUUUUCUUUCUUUUUUUGCCGGUUGUUUCGUUUCGCAUUUAGGUUGCGACAGCUGGCGACUCUGUUGGGUAACCGGUCUCCCUAAGCGAGUCCCUCAUAGCUUUUGUAGGUUUCUUGUUGGUUGGGUGUUUAUUUCUUUUGUACAGUUAUUUAUUUACCUGCUUUACCUUAUUGCAUUCAUGUAAAUAUGUCUGCUGUAUCUGGGGGUUCUGUUGGGUUGUUUGUUUGUUGGGGUGGGAUGUUCUAUGAGAUAAGCCCACUACCCAGGUUUGAGCGUACACACAGGUUUUAGAGUGGAUGGUCAUGAGGCUUGCGUGGCAUGUUGCUACGUUAAGUCGUUCAUGAGACCCACAUUCUAGACGAGGUUUCUGUUGGAUAUAUUUUGUCCUAUGGGUGUUCCAUAACGACAAAUAUUCCUUUAGAAAUCGUCGACUCUGGUGACCAUUUCCCGAGAACUCAAUCGAGGCCUCUCCUCUGAGACGCGUUUAUGUUAGCUCUGGUGGGCGCAUUAUCGCUGUUCAAUCCGAGGACCCCGAGACUGGGAACUUGCUUUAGGAUAUCCUGUUGAGGGGAGUCAGUGGAGGUCUUUUAUCCCGUAAUAAUGCCAAACCUUCAGUGGUAAACGUAUUAUUCUCGACUGAAGGGUAUCCGAGGACCCCGAGACUGGGAACUUGCUUUAGGAUAUCCUGUUGAGGGGAGUCAGUGGAGGUCUUUUAUCCCGUAAUAAUGCCAAACCUUCAGUGGUAAACGUAUUAUUCUCGACUGAAGGGCCGGAGUUGACGAACUUCUGUUCUUAGAACCUACUAGUGAGGGGCGAGCUAAAUUCAGGAAACCUUAACCUCCAACCAACCCAGUUUUCUGGAGCAGAGUUCUGAUCUUGUAUUAUAUUCCUCAGUGGGUUUCUCUUCAAACAAUGCAACCCAACAGUUGUUCAAGCAGAUACAACAAUCUUGAUUUCCAUGUCACUGCAUUGCAUCACAUCAUGUUGCAUUUAUAUCAUUUAAUACAUGUUUAUCUAUUUCUAGGGGGUUUACAUCUUCUUCUUGAUUUCGGUCGGGGUUCUCUGGUUUUUCCGAGAUGGACAUUGGCAGAAAGAGACACGUCGCCUACAAGUUUCCUUGGAGCCUAUUCAACAGCUGAUGAAGUUAAUGGAUCACGGUUCUCUAGAAGGAUUCCGGAAGGAUUAUGGUUUGAUUCUAAGUUUCGUUACGGUUCUCUCCAAAGAUCAUGUACUACGAGAGAAAACAUUGUUGCAGUUCUAUGACCCUCCAUUGAGGUGUUUCACGUUCCCAGAUUAUAUUUUGGUCCCUACUUUGGAGGAGGUUGCUAGUUUUCUUAGAGUUCCUAUCAAGCCGUAGUUGCUAUUCUACAGUUCCGAGUUUCUGCCUGAUCUCAACAUGGUUGCUUCAACCACAUAUUUGGGGAAAUCAAUCUUGAAGGCUAAUAUGUGUCAGAAGGGAGAAGUUAAUGGUUUUCAUCUGAGUUUCUUACUGGGAGAAGCAAAGAAGAAGCUUGAAGAUGGUGACUAGAGGGGUUUCAAUGAUGUGUUGGCUCUUUGUGUGUAUGGGAUUGUCCUGUUCCCUAAUGUGGCGAAAUUUUUGGACGUAGACGCCAUACGCCUCUUCAUGUUGGGAAAUCCGGUGCCGACCUUGUUGGGAGAUUUCUUUCAUUCAGUGCAUCACAGGAAUGAGAAUAAAAGGGGAGGAUUGGUGAAUUGUUGUGCGCCUUUGUUUUAUAAGUGGUUCAGUUCCCACCUACCCAAGUCAGGAGCGUUUGUUGAUGUCAAGAACUCGUUGAGUUGGUCAAAGAGACUGAUGGGGAUAAGAGCUAAAGAUAUUUCUUGGUGGUCAGACCGGAGCUUGCUUCGGGCAAAUAUUAUUCAUAGUUGUGGGAACUUACCGAAUGUACCAUUGGUAGGAAGAAGAGGAAGUAUCAACUACAAUCCUUCUCUGGCAGUCAGACAGUUUGGAUAUGCUUUAAGAGCUCCGCCUUUGGAAAAAUAUGUGGAAGAAUCUUUGUCUUUCCAUUCUUUAUCUGAUUUGACUGUAUCCCGUAAGGCAGCUGAGGCUUGGCUCAAGGUGAUCAAGAGAGGAAGAACUGUGCUUGGCAAAGGAGAUUGUAGAACUUACCCUCAGUAUGAAGAGUGGCUUCAAGGAAGAGUCAAAGAGUUUGGUCUGCCAUUUCCUAUUGAAGAACCUUUGUAUCCACCUACUCCUGAGCAGUCAACAAUGGUGAGCCGAGAGGAGUAUGACAAAUUGAAGAAUGCCAUGGAGGAGCUUCAAACUAAAAACUCGGAGUUAAGUGUGAUUUGAAGAACCUUUGUAUCCACCUACUCCUGAGCAGUCAACAAUGGUGAGCCGAGAGGAGUAUGACAAAUUGAAGAAUGCCAUGGAGGAGCUUCAAACUAAAAACUCGGAGUUAAGUGUGAAGCUGCAAGACUGUAUGCAUCAAUUCCAUGAGGCAAAAUAUCGAAGGGGGAAGCUAUCAGAUUGCAAGAGGAAGCAAAGAGGAAAUUAGUUGUGGAGGUGGACUUCUUCAGGAAGACAGACAAAGCCUUGGGAUCAUCCAGUUCUGAGUUGAGGGGAGUCAAGCAACAGUUAACAGAUGCCCAUGGUAAGUUAGCUGGGUGGCAAGAGCAAUGGGAUGCAUUUUCAGUUUCUAGGAAGGCAAAAGAGAAGGAGAUGGUAGCCCAACUGACUGUUCAGAUGGAGAAAUUGAAGAUUUUGGUGAAGGAGAAGAACAAUGAGCUUCUGUGCGCCCGUUCAACCAAUGGUUACAUCACAGACCAACUUGACAAAGCUCAAGAACAGAUUGAAGAACUCAAGGUGCUGGCAGGUUUGAAGAAGUCCAGACUUGAAGAGGUAUUCGGAGAAGACGAUGGGAAUUACUACAAAGAACACAUCAACGAACUCGAUGGGGUUAUUCACAAGAGGAAUCUGCUUAUCCGGAGUUUGACAGAAUCUCCAGAUCAUCCUGACAUAGUGGCACUACUGGCUGAAGUGAGGAGCAGUCCUUAUGGGUUGUAUGCAGGACGCUGAUUCCUGAUUUUUGUUCCUCUCUUUACUUAUCGUGUUGUUGCUUUGUAGUGAUGAUCCAUAGGCUUGUUGUGGAAAUCCUCUCUUGAUGUAUUGUUGGCUAAGGCCUUUCCCUUCUUGAACUCAUUUAUAUGAUGAUUUUCCUUAUUGCAUCUUGAUCUCAGAAGUUUAUCCACAACUUGGUCUUCUUGCGCUUUCUAUCUGAUGUGAGACUGGAAUCAAGGGGGUAGAAUACCCGUUGGAAUUGAUAAACAUGUCAUUGCAUUUACAUAUUCAUUUGCAUAUCUUGCAUAACAGGUACCGCUGCGGUGUUCUCAUAUUAUUUGGUGUUCCACUAGCAGGAUAGCUGAUUCAGGAAUUCACCGGUACGGUACCCGCAAAAACCACCAGAGAGCAAUGGAAAGCCUACAAGCAGAGCUCACCGAGAUGAGGAUCCGCAAGACCCAAUUCAUGGAUGUGGUUCAAGGGGUGGCUCAGGGACAGCAAGAGCUCAGGAAGAUGAUGCAGAGGAAUCCCGCCNNNNNNNNNNNNNNNNNNNNNNNNNNNNNNNNNNNNNNNNNNNNNNNNNNNNNNNNNNNNNNNNNNNNNNNNNNNNNNNNNNNNNNNNNNNNNNNNNNNNNNNNNNNNNNNNNNNNNNNNNNNNNNNNNNNNNNNNNNNNNNNNNNNNNNNNNNNNNNNNNNNNNNNNNNNNNNNNNNNNNNNNNNNNNNNNNNNNNNNNNNNNNNNNNNNNNNNNNNNNNNNNNNNNNNNNNNNNNNNNNNNNNNNNNNNNNNNNNNNNNNNNNNNNNNNNNNNNNNNNNNNNNNNNNNNNNNNNNNNNNNNNNNNNNNNNNNNNNNNNNNNNNNNNNNNNNNNNNNNNNNNNNNNNNNNNNNNNNNNNNNNNNNNNNNNNNNNNNNNNNNNNNNNNNNNNNNNNNNNNNNNNNNNNNNNNNNNNNNNNNNNNNNNNNNNNNNNNNNNNNNNNNNNNNNNNNNNNNNNNNNNNNNNNNNNNNNNNNNNNNNNNNNNNNNNNNNNNNNNNNNNNNNNNNNNNNNNNNNNNNNNNNNNNNNNNNNNNNNNNNNNNNNNNNNNNNNNNNNNNNNNNNNNNNNNNNNNNNNNNNNNNNNNNNNNNNNNNNNNNNNNNNNNNNNNNNNNNNNNNNNNNNNNNNNNNNNNNNNNNNNNNNNNNNNNNNNNNNNNNNNNNNNNNNNNNNNNNNNNNNNNNNNNNNNNNNNNNNNNNNNNNNNNNNNNNNNNNNNNNNNNNNNNNNNNNNNNNNNNNNNNNNNNNNNNNNNNNNNNNNNNNNNNNNNNNNNNNNNNNNNNNNNNNNNNNNNNNNNNNNNNNNNNNNNNNNNNNNNNNNNNNNNNNNNNNNNNNNNNNNNNNNNNNNNNNNNNNNNNNNNNNNNNNNNNNNNNNNNNNNNNNNNNNNNNNNNNNNNNNNNNNNNNNNNNNNNNNNNNNNNNNNNNNNNNNNNNNNNNNNNNNNNNNNNNNNNNNNNNNNNNNNNNNNNNNNNNNNNNNNNNNNNNNNNNNNNNNNNNNNNNNNNNNNNNNNNNNNNNNNNNNNNNNNNNUGGAAUGGUAUAUGAGGCUGGACAGAGCCCACAUCCGUUGCUGGAGGGAUUUGGCUGAGGCUUUCGUGAAGCAGUAUCAGUAUAAUGCAGACAUGGCUCCGGACAGAACUCAACUUCAGAAUCUGUCUCUUAAAAGCAAUGAGUGCUUCAGGGAAUACGCUCAACGCUGGAGGGAGACAGCUUCCCGUGUUCAACCUCCUAUGUUGGAGAAGGAAAUGGCUAACAUGUUCAUGAACACUCUGCCCGGACCUUACUUGGAGCGCCUGGUGGGUUGCAAUGCCUCCAACUUUGCUGAUGUAGUCUCUACCGGCGAGAGGGUGGAGAACUAUUUGAAGACAUGCAAGAUCCAGAGUGGAGGUGGAUCUUCAUCAGGGGUGAAGAAGCCGUUCAUUUAGGGACAAAAGAGGAGAGAAGGGGAUGCAAAUGCCAUAUCUUCUUAUCAGAACAGGGGUAACCGGAGGAAUAACUUUCAGAACUAUCAUCAACAACCGUAUGUUGCGGCUGUGACCAUUCCGGCUGUAGCACCACUACAACAACAACAACCACAACGUCAGCAAACUCAGUACCAACAACAACAACCGGGUAACAAACCCGCCUAUCAACAGAGGCAAAGGAUGAUGGACCGGCGUUUCGACACUCUUCCAAUGUCGUACGCUCAAUUGCUUUCUAGUCUUCAACAACUACAACUUGUGCAGUUACGCACUCUGGCUCCUCCUGUUGGUAGGCUUUCGGUGGGUUACGACGCCAACGCUAGGUGUAGCUUCCACUCUGGGGCACCUGGCCACAAUAUUGAGAACUGCAAAGCUUUUAAGCAUGUAGUUCAGGACCUCAUAGAUUCAAAGGCCAUCAACCUUGCACCGGCUCCUAAUGUCGUCAACAAUCCCAUGCCACAACAUGGUAGUGCGAAUGUUAAUAUGAUGGAAGGGGAAGCCAAAUCCGUCAAAGAUGUGUUGAAGCUGAAGACUCCGUUGUUGGAUAUCAAGGGCUACUUAUUGAAGGCCGAUUUUUUCCCUGGUUGUGGGAAGGGUUGUGUGGAUUGUGCUACUCAGAGUGGAGGUUGUUUGAAGCUGCAGCAGGGUAUCCAGGCCUUGCUCGGUGAAGGUACCCUCCAGGUUAAAGAUUUGUCUGUCCAAGAGUCUGUGGAAGGGGUUGAGGAAGAUGUGUUUGAAGAUGCUACUAAUGAAUUCACAGAUGUUGUUCCUACUGAUUCUGUAAUCCAUGAUGAUGUAUUUAAUUUUUCCAAUGUUGUUGCUGAUAUCCCAAACAAUAUGGUUGAUUCUGAUGUAAUUGAACUUGAUUCUGAUGUUUCGGAUGUUUAUGUUUCAAUGAAUGAGAUUUCAGAGUAUGACUAUGAUGUUGCUACUAUCACCAUUUUCUACCCAACUCAUCAGAUCAAUGUAUCAGAAGCGCAACCGGUGCCACCAGCGCGACUGUCCACUAUGAUUAUCACAACCCCUGGUCCUUUACCUUUCACCAGUGAAAGGGCCAUUCCUUGGGAUUAUGGGGGGAGUGUGUACACGCACGAUCAUGGGGUAGAACGAUCACUAAAGGUAGAAGAGGGUCAGAAGUCUGAACUUGAAGUUGAAGGUCCUGUAGUGGACAAUGUUGGUGGAAUCGGGCGAUUCACCAGGAGUGGUAGACUGUUCUCACCACCCGUUACCCAAACUGAUAGUGCUGAUGCUGCGGCGAAAGCCAAAGGCAAGCAAGUCGUGAAUGAGAGUGCCUCUACACCCCAGGCUGGUUCUGAGCCCACUUUUGCGAAGGAUGUGGACGAGCUCUUGAGGAUCAUAAAGAAAAGUGACUACAAGGUAGUCGAUCAGUUGAUUCAGACUCCGUCCAAGAUAUCCAUUCUCUCACUCCUAUUGUGUUCGGAGGCGCACAGGGAGGCACUGCUGAAAGUCCUAAAUGCUGCAUAUGUGCCUCAGGAGAUCUCAGUGAACCAACUGGAAGGAAUCGUUGCAAAUGUUCAUGCAAGCAACGGGUUAGGUUUUACUGAUUCUGACUUAACACCAGCUGGACGCAACCAUAACAAGGCUUUGCACAUCUCGAUGGAAUGCAAAGACACCGUGUUAUCUCAUGUUCUGGUGGAUACAGGUUCCUCUCUCAAUGUGCUACCCAAGAGAGCCCUGUCAAGGUUAGAAGUAGAGGGUUUGGUCCUGAAGCCUUCAGAUCUUAUUGUGAGAGCCUUUGAUGGUUCUAAGAGGUCGGUGUUCGGAGAGGUAGAAUUGCCAAUUCAGAUUGGAUCACAAACCUUCAACACCGUCUUCUAUGUGAUGGAUAUCAGUCCUUCCUAUAGUUGCCUGCUGGGUCGUCCUUGGAUCCACAAUGCUGGGGCAGUCUCUUCAACUUUACAUCAGAAGAUUAAAUUCCCAGUCAAUGGAAGGAUUAUCACCGUCUGUGGUGAGGAGGAUAUUUUGGUCAGUAACCUGUCUACAUUCAAGUAUGUAGAGGUAGAAGGUGAAUUUCAUGAGACCCUAUGUCAGGCCUUUGAGGCAGUUCAGAUCAAGGACGCAGCUCCGAUGGAAGAAGUUAAAGCGGGUGCCUCUAUCUCGUCCUUCAAGCAGGCACAGGCCUUGGUAGAUUCAGGCGUUGCCCCCGGUUGGGGACGUCUGUUGGAGUUACCAAUGAAAGAAGACAAGUUCGGGAUUGGGUAUCAGCCAGCUCUGACUUCUACAACUUCAACACUUCAGACUCGUCAGGGGCCGAUUACUUUCUCCAGCGCUGGCGUCAUCCAAUAUGGCCAGGUCUCUGCGGUCAACGAUGAAGAUGGGGAUAGUGAUUGCGACAUCGAUAACUGGGUGCGUCCGAGGAUCCCGGGUGAAGUCAUCAACAAUUGGUCUUCUGAGGAGAUUGUCCAAGUCACUUUUCUGGAGGAGUAAUAUUUCUUGUUUAUUCAUGCAUGUCUAAGUCUUACGUUCCGCCCAGGGCGUAAUGACUCAUUGUAGGGCUCAUCUAUGCGAAUACCUGCAUUUUUAUCAUAAAUAAAGGACGUCUUUUUGCAUUCAAAAUUUUGUUCACUGUUUUUCUAUUUUUGUAGUUUUAAAAAAAAAACAAAAAUGAAAAAAUAUCUGGCAAUGUUUUGUUUAGUUUUCACUUUGUUCACACUCAUAAGCACAUACCAUCACUCAUGCAGAUGCACAUCACCGGAUCCUAUUGAUAACGGUUCUGCUAUGGCUUGCUUCGACUUUGAAAAUCCGAUCUUUCAAACUGAAGAAGAGGGUGAUGAAGACUGUGAACUCCCUGAAGAACUUGCCAGGCUAUUAAAGCAAGAGGAAAGGGUCAUUCAACUGCAUCAAGAGUCUACUGAAGUGAUCAAUCUUGGCACCGAGGACGUCAAGAAAGAAAUCAAGAUAGGGGCUGCUUUGGAAGACGAUGUGAAGAAGGGGUUGAUUGAAUUGCUGCAAGAGUAUGUUGACAUCUUCGCCUGGUCUUAUCAGGAUAUGCCCGGGCUUGACACAGACAUCGUGGUACACCGUUUGCCUCUCAAAGAGGAUUGUCCUCCGGUCAAGCAGAAGCUCAGAAGAACAAGACCAGAGAUGGCCGUCAAGAUAAAGGAAGAAGUGCAAAAACAGUUGGAUGCAGGGUUUCUAGCAGUCACCAAUUAUCCGCCAUGGAUUGCAAACAUCGUUCCAGUACCUAAGAAGGAUGGAAAGGUACGGAUGUGUGUCGACUACUGGGAUCUGAACAGAGCUAGCCCUAAGGAUGAUUUCCCAUUACCUCACAUUGACGUUUUGGUGGAUAACACAGCUUAGUUCUCGAUAUUCUCCUUCAUGGAUGGCUUUUCUGGCUAUAAUCAAAUCAAGAUGGCACCAGAAGACAUGGAGAAGACAACAUUCAUAACCCCAUGGGGCACCUUCUGCUACAAGGUGAUGCCGUUUGGUCUGAAAAAUGCCGGGGCAACAUAUCAACGAGCGAUGGUGACUCUUUUCCAUGAUAUGAUUUAUCAUGAAAUCAAGGUUUAUGUUGACGAUAUGAUUUCCAAAUCUCAGACAGAAGAAGAACAUUUGGUGAAUCUGCAGAAACUGUUUGAGCGUUUGAGAAAAUUCAAGUUGAGGCUUAAUCCGAACAAGUGUACUUUCGGGGUGAGAUAUGGAAAACUGCUGGGUUUCAUUGUUAGCGGAAAAGGGAUUGAGGUGGAUCCUGACAAAGUGAAGGCUAUACAAGAAAUGCCUGAGCCAAGAACAGAAAAGCAAGUCCGCGGUUUCUUAGGGAGGUUGAACUACAUUGCAAGGUUCAUCUCUCACCUAACAGCCACGUGUGAGCCAAUUUUCAAAUUGCUAAGGAAAGACCAGGCUAUCAGGUGGAAUGACGAUUGUCAAAGGGCUUUCGAGAAGAUCAAAGAGUAUUUGCAGAAUCCCCCUAUCCUCAUGCCUCCAGUCCCAGGGAGACCGCUGAUUAUGUACUUGACAAUACUAGACAAUUCCAUGGGUUGUGUUCUCGGUCAGCACGAUGAGACAGGUAGGAAAGAGCAUGCCAUCUACUACCUAAGUACGAAAUUCACAGACUGCGAGUCGAGAUACUCAACGCUUGAAAAGACAUGUUGUGCACUUGCAUGGGCUGUUAAGCGAUUGAGAUAAUACAUGCUGACUCACACAACCUUAUUGAUCUCUAAGAUGGAUCCAGUCAAGUAUAUAUUCGAGAAGCUAGCUCUCACCGGAAGGGUUGCUCGUUGGCAAAUGGUACUGACAGAGUACGAUAUCCAGUAUACGUCCCAGAAAGCCAUCAAAGGGAGUAUUCUGUCAGACUAUCUUGCUCAGCAGCCGAUUGAUGAUUAUGAGCCAAUGAAGUUUGAUUUUCUGGAUGAAGACAUCAUGUUCCUCAAGAUGAAAGACUGUGAAGAGCCAGUUGUUGAGGAGGGACCUAAUCCAGAUGAAAAGUGGACUUUAAUGUUUGAUGGGGCCGUCAAUGUGAAGACAUCAUGUUCCUCAAGAUGAAAGACUGUGAAGAGCCAGUUGUUGAGGAGGGACCUAAUCCAGAUGAAAAGUGGACUUUAAUGUUUGAUGGGGCCGUCAAUGCCAAAGGAAGUGGAAUUGGUGUUGUCAUUACCACUCCGAAAGGUGCCCACAUGCCUUUCAUCGCUCGUCUGACUUUUGAAUGCACCAAUAAUGAAGCUGAGUAUGAAGCCUGUAUCUUGGGUAUCGAGCAAGCCAUUGAUUUGAGAAUCAAGACUUUGGACAUCUUCGGAGAUUCAACUCUAGUGAUCAAUCAAGUGAAUGGUGAUUGGAAUACUCUCCAGCCUAAUCUGGUCCCCUACAGAGAUUACACGAGAAGACUGUUGACUUUCUUCACAACAGCAAAGCUAUAUCAUAUACCUCGUGACGAGAACCAGAUGGCAGAUGCUCUUGCUACUCUAUCCUCCAUGAUCAAGGUGAUUCGGUGGAACCAUGUUCCCAGGAUUGAUGUUAUGCGCCUUGAUAGGGCCGCGUAUGUGUUUGCUGCUGAAGUGGUAGUUGAUGACAAGCCCUAGUAUCACGACAUCAAGUGCUUUCUGAAGAAUCAAGAGUAUCCUGCCGGGGCAUCCAACAAUGAUAGAAAGACUUUGAGAAGAUUGGCAGGCAGUUUCUUCUUGAACAAAGACGAUGUGCUGUAUAAGAGGAAGUUCGACAUGGUUUUGCUCAGAUGCGUGGAUAGACACGAAGCAGACAUGUUAAUGCAGGAAGUUCAUGAAGGCUCCUUCGGUAAUCAUGCCGGAAGACAUGCAAUGACUAAGAAGUUGUUAAGAGCAGGUUAUUACUGGAUGACCAUGGAAUCUGAUUGUUCCAAAUAUGCUUGGAAGUGUCAUAAAUGCCAAAUUUAUGCUGAUAAGGUACAUGUGCCGCCAAAUCCUUUGAAUGUGAUGUCUUCACCGCGGCUUUUUGCUAUGUGGGGCAUUGAUAUGAUUGGAAAGAUUGAGCCGACCGCCUCCAAUGGGCAUCGCUUCAUCCUUGUUGCCAUCGACUAUUUUACCAAGUGGGUCGAAGCAGCAUCAUUCGCGAAUGUCACCAGACAUGUGGUUGCCCGAUUCAUUAAGAAAGAAAUCAUUUGUCGUUAUGGGAUUCCCGAAAGAAUCAUUAUUGAUAAUGGUUCUAAUCUCAAUAACAAAAUGAUGAAGGCGUUGUGCCAGAACUUUAACAUUCAGCAUCACAAUUCUUCCCCUUAUCGCCCUAAGAUGAACGGCGCUGUUGAGGCAAUAAAUAAGAACAUAAAGAAGAUUGUGCAGAAGAUGGUCGUUACGUACAGAGAUUGGCAUGAGAUGCUACCCUUCGCCUUGCAUGGGUACCGUACUUCAGUACGUACAUCGACCGGGGCAACCCCUUACUCCCUUGUGUAUGGUAUGGAAGCAGUCCUACCUGUUGAAGUGGAGAUUCCUUCUCUAAGAGUCCUGUUGGAUGUCAAGUUAGACGAAGCUGAAUGGAUUCAGACAAGGUUCAAUGAGUUGAGUCUUAUCGAAGAGAAGCGAAUGGAAGCCAUUGUCAUGGGCAAUUGUAUCAGAGUCGGAUGAAGAGAGCCUUUGAUCGGAGAGUGCGUCCUCGAUGUUUCCAAGUUGGAGAUUUAGUGUUGAAAAGGAUCCUUCCUCCUCAAAUAGAUCACAGGGGCAAGUGGACUCCUAACUAUGAUGGACCAUACAUUAUCACCAAGAUUUUUGAUGGUGGGGCCUUAAUGCUUGCAACUAUGGAUGGUGAAAACUUCACUUCCCCUGUGAACUCAGACGCAGUUAAAAAACACUUCGCAUAAAAUAGACCCGCUGGACAAUAAAAAGAAUAGUCCAGGCAAAAAAUGGGCAUCCCGACGAACCAAGAAAAUGAAAAGGUUCGGGCAAAAAUUAGGGAUUAAAAAUGAAAAGAUUGUACACCCGGUAAGUUGAAAACCUGAAAGGGCAACUUAGGCAAAAAUGGGUAUCCCGGUGGAUUGAAAACCCGAAAGGGCGAUCCAGGCAAAAGUUAGGGAUUAAGCGAAUGANNNNNNNNNNNNNNNNNNNNNNNNNNNNNNNNNNNNNNNNNNNNNNNNNNNNNNNNNNNNNNNNNNNNNNNNNNNNNNNNNNNNNNNNNNNNNNNNNNNNNNNNNNNNNNNNNNNNNNNNNNNNNNNNNNNNNNNNNNNNNNNNNNNNNNNNNNNNNNNNNNNNNNNNNNNNNNNNNNNNNNNNNNNNNNNNNNNNNNNNNNNNNNNNNNNNNNNNNNNNNNNNNNNNNNNNNNNNNNNNNNNNNNNNNNNNNNNNNNNNNNNNNNNNNNNNNNNNNNNNNNNNNNNNNNNNNNNNNNNNNNNNNNNNNNNNNNNNNNNNNNNNNNNNNNNNNNNNNNNNNNNNNNNNNNNNNNNNNNNNNNNNNNNNNNNNNNNNNNNNNNNNNNNNNNNNNNNNNNNNNNNNNNNNNNNNNNNNNNNNNNNNNNNNNNNNNNNNNNNNNNNNNNNNNNNNNNNNNNNNNNNNNNNNNNNNNNNNNNNNNNNNNNNNNNNNNNNNNNNNNNNNNNNNNNNNNNNNNNNNNNNNNNNNNNNNNNNNNNNNNNNNNNNNNNNNNNNNNNNNNNNNNNNNNNNNNNNNNNNNNNNNNNNNNNNNNNNNNNNNNNNNNNNNNNNNNNNNNNNNNNNNNNNNNNNNNNNNNNNNNNNNNNNNNNNNNNNNNNNNNNNNNNNNNNNNNNNNNNNNNNNNNNNNNNNNNNNNNNNNNNNNNNNNNNNNNNNNNNNNNNNNNNNNNNNNNNNNNNNNNNNNNNNNNNNNNNNNNNNNNNNNNNNNNNNNNNNNNNNNNNNNNNNNNNNNNNNNNNNNNNNNNNNNNNNNNNNNNNNNNNNNNNNNNNNNNNNNNNNNNNNNNNNNNNNNNNNNNNNNNNNNNNNNNNNNNNNNNNNNNNNNNNNNNNNNNNNNNNNNNNNNNNNNNNNNNNNNNNNNNNNNNNNNNNNNNNNNNNNNNNNNNNNNNNNNNNNNNNNNNNNNNNNNNNNNNNNNNNNNNNNNNNNNNNNNNNNNNNNNNNNNNNNNNNNNNNNNNNNNNNNNNNNNNNNNNNNNNNNNNNNNNNNNNNNNNNNNNNNNNNNNNNNNNNNNNNNNNNNNNNNNNNNNNNNNNNNNNNNNNNNNNNNNNNNNNNNNNNNNNNNNNNNNUUUAUUUUUUUAUUUUAUCUGCAGAGCUGGUCGAGCGUUGGCGUUCUUCAAUCCCGAGGCUCUCACUGCGACUUCCCCAAGUUUUGUUUCAGUGAUUAUACAUUCACCAGCGGAUUGACAGUGUGAGAUAUAUAUUCCUAGCGAGUGACAGGUGCCAGACUGUAUUUCCCAGCAGAAGCGCCCUGCUCCGUCAGAGUUCGAUGCCAGGUCGAUGAUCUCGACGCCAGUCCACAGUCUCUUUCUUGAAGGCGAAUCCGGUACCGUAUCGGUGUUUGCUUCCCCUGCUGGAGUCAGUCUCUCUCGCCGAUUAUGUUUCCAGAACCACUGUCGCUUUCCUCAACAACAAGUUUUCAGUGUCGUUCUCUCCUCCAGCAGAGCCUCGGUAUUUUUGUAUUUGCCAGAACACCGUGUGGCGGGUAUUCCCCACAGAGUUCUUUGUGCUGUACAUCCUCCAACACCUGGCCUAGGGUCUAGGAAGAUGCGUGAUCAUUUCCCCGCCAGAUUUCCUUUGCCUCAGCUUUGGCUUCUCUCUAAUCAAGCAUUUCGACAUCCCUGCAUGUAGAUCAUUUGCAUUGCCAUCCUCUAAAUUGCGUAGCAUUUUCAUUUCAUGGAGUAUUACGCCAUUGAAAUUUCAAACUAUCGCCAUGUAAAGCAUAAGGCGAUUUCGGUUAUCCCAAGUGAUAAGCCAGAAUUAUUUCAGUAUCAGACUGAAGAUUUGUUCUGACUUUCUUUAUUUUCCCCCCAGCAGGGGCGUGGCCCACGCGCCGCCUCAAUUAUCAUUUUCCCUAUUUCUGCCGAUGCUGACAGGCAUGAAUUUUCUGGUAUUUAGGCUAAUUUCCGAUGUUCCAGGAUCGAAGAAGUUUCCGACGUUCAAGGUCGAUGCAACUUGUGGCCUUCAGACCGAAGUGAAGUUCGGCAAUUUUCGAUGUCAGAUCGAAGAGUUUUCGACGUUCAGGUCAACGCCAACUUGUGGCAUUAGGCCAGGCGUUUCGCCGUAUUCAGACCGAAGUGGCAUUCAUGCCAAUUUUCCGAUGUUCAGAUCGAAGAAGUUUCCGACGUUCAGGUCGACGCACUUGUGGCAUUCAGUGCAGUUUUCGGGUACGCAGACCGAAGUGGCUUCAGGGCCAGUCUCUCGGUGUUCAGACGAUAUUAAUAAUCUCAUUAUCUUCCGGUGCUUAUAUCGAAGUCAUUCCAGUAUUCAGCUGGAUGAGCGGAAUUCAGGCCAUGGUUUAUUUCUGUGCUUACCAUUAUAUUUUGGUAUCCAGGCUUAACAUUCUUUUUCGAUAUUCAGACCGACUUCGCACCGUACAGCAGAUUCUUCUUUCAGACACCUCAUUUGCCGAUUCUGACAGGCAAUUGUUACUUCACUUCACUUCAGUGUAAAUUUUCAGGCUUUUAUUGUAUUCAAUCCCUUGAUACCUCGAAAGUGCGAAAGCCGCUGCUAUCUUCUUUUCGGGUCUCCAGUUGAUUGAAUAGGGGCAGUUGUAGCACCUCAAAUUUUCCCCCCUCAUUCAUGCAUUCAUUUUUAGGUCAUUUAACAUUUCAUAUUGCAUUUUAUCAUGUCAAUCAGAAUUAGAUCCAAGAAGCUUGAAUAUCAUCCAAGACACUUUGUGGGUUCUAUCUAGGUGAUCAGUCAACACAAGGGAAUGACUUGAGUUACUUCCAACAUGUUCAAAUGGGGUCUAUUCAUCAUUCAAAACGCUAAUCUUGAAGGAGCAAAAGUCUGUUCCUGAGUUGUCAUGCUCGCUAGGCGAGCAAAUUCUUCGUUAGGUGAAGCGCACGCGUUUUAAAAAUAAAAAAAUAUAUAACAGAAAAAUCUUGGACUUGGACCUCUCUCAUUUGAGCCCACCAAGCCACGAAAAUCAAGUUAUAAAUUCUAAAAAUUCAGUGGGAAAAUCCUAGAAGAGCUAACAGAAUUCAGAGCAGCCUCCAUAGACACUGAAGAAAAAACUCCUUUGCACAGGAUCACCUCUACCAAUUCCAUCUCAUAUAAACCCUAAGAUUGUUUUGCAAACCCAACCGGGCAAUUCAAUUUCAUUCGAUCUCUCCAAUCAGGUUUACCCUAUCUCCAUUACUUUAUGCUUUCAAUUUGAAAUUUCUGAAUGUAUGAGGCAUCAUGGGUGAAUUUGGAAGAGUGGGUAUCGUUAGGUUUCACAUGUGGGUUUAGAUAUGCAUGAAUGUGUAGAAUUUUCAAUUUGAAAUUUCUGAAUGUAUGAGGCAUCAUGGGUGAAUUUGGAAGAGUGGGUAUCGUUAGGUUUCACAUGUGGGUUUAGAUAUGCAUGAAUGUGUAGAACAAUGCCUUGAAUGUUUGAUCAGUUAAUUUCUGAAAUGGGUACCACGGGGUUUGGGGUUACUGAAAUCGGACUAUUAUCGAGGAAGAACCCAAAAUCCGCAGGCAUUCGCUAGGCGAAUCUGCAGCGAAGCUUCGCUAAGCCUUCGCUAAGCGAAGCAGUAGAGAUCGUGAAAGUAGUUGUUUUUUCUGUUUACUCUCUAAUCCGUCUUGUGUUUGUUGGUUUUUCUGUUUCUAUUGCAUCCGUGCACUGUUUACCUGACGCUGUUGUGGUUAUGGUCCUUCUGUUUGGUGCAACUCUUGAUUGCACCACAUCUUGUUAUUCUAACUUGUUUGUUGAGUUUUUGUGAGGGCUCACAUGACUCUUGAAGAGAUAGCUUGCUUGGUAUUCCACUUUAUUUAUGGGAUACCAUUUGGAGAUUUAUUCUGAUUACUUUGUUGACUUGCUUUCUUUGAUGGUGCUAGCUUGAGAGAUCAUCGGGUUUCUUGCUUCUUUAGUUGUUAUUACUUCGGAUUUUUAUCCGUGUGGUAGAUCUCUUGAUCCCUUUAUCUUUCCCGUAUUUUACCGCUUUCUUAGCUGGAAGACCUCGAUAGGAGGCGAUGUUUUGUGUGUGUUUACUUUUGUGCCCAAAGACCUCCAAGAAGAGGCACCAGUGCUAAAGACCUCCACGAAGAGGCAAUUGACGGAUAAAAGGGAUUAGUAGUCAAUCCCCCGUUAUUUAGUGUGUCGUUCUUUAUGCUCGCACUACGUGUCGAUGCUUCAGAAUAAAAGCCCAAGAUAUUUUGUCCGGUCAGUCAGUGGAGAGGGUUCCACCUUUCUGAAUCCCCACUUUUUGUCAUGAGCUCACCCUGUCCAGGGUUAAGAGCUAUGAGGUCUUAUCCUCAUUACCGUUUGAAUCUGACUCUCCUGACGUCCAGGUCAGUGGUUAAGAGCCCGUUUGAUACCCUUCAUGGCUUCUGUUUUUUGUCGAGGUUGAUUGACCCUCUUGAAAUAAAGCCCUACCCAUGUAGUUUGAGCCCUUGUUGGCGUGUUUACUUUAAUGCAUGUUUUUUGUUAAUGGUGUGAUCGUCUCCCAUAGGAUUGCUAGGCUUCGUAUAGUCUUCGUUUGCAUGUCAAUUAAGUAGCAGGUUCCUUCGUCUAGGACUUCCUUUUUUGCAUGAGCAUUCCUAAACACAAACAAACUCAUUGAAUUUUUCUUCUCCUAAGAACACGUUAAUUCCUUCUACUACAGGCGAGUAAGUCUCAAAGGUCUAGCAUCCGGUAGAUGGAGUAACGUCGUCCUAAAAAACAACAAAACAAACAAAUAGGUCAGUGGCUCGAAGAUUCUGAUUCUCAUAUUCAGUGAGAUGAUACGUAUGGAGUGGAUGCGACAUCCGUGCCGCAGUCAUUUUCUUUUGGCCCUCUUUUAGUAAUAGUUACAUUAGAUAAACCCCACCUUUAGGACUAAGAACAACAAGAGUGGGAUCCGUAGAGCUUACGGAUGCGUAGGGUGCUAUACCUUCCCUUCGCUAAUCGACUCCCGAACCAAGAUUUUGGUUGUGAGACCUUGUCUUUCCUUUCCUUUUUCCAGGUUUACUUCGAGCGUUUCCUUUCCCUCCUUUGGGAUAAAUAACGCACGGUGGCGACUCUUCUGUCAUUUUCUUUCUUUUUUUGCCGGUUGUUUCGUUUCGCAUUUAGGUUACGACAUCAAGUGAUCAAGAGACUUUUGAUCACUUGAAUAGACAGAGGAAGUGAGCACUAUCAAAGGAUUUAAUUUAUCAAAGAAAACAUUGAUCAACUGAAUAAAUCAGGGAGAAAAUAGUUGAAAGUUCAUGUACACAUAGAUAAGGAUUAACAAAACAUUAGGGGUUAAAUCCUAAGCACCUAAGUCUAAGGGAUCAUGCCAAUGGUUAAGGUACAAUUUAAUCAGAGAAAUCAACAAGGUUCUAAGAAGAAAACAAUUGAUUAAAUUAUCAAUUAAACCUAAAUGAACAAAAUUAAUUAUAAUCAAUUAAAUCUCUAAAUCAAGAAUUCUAAUUCUAAAGCAUGAAAGAAUUAAAAAUUAAAUCACAUCGAGUAAUCAACAUUUAUCAUGUACAAUUACAAUCUAAACCUAAUCAUGUAAAGUAGGUUGAAUCACAUAUUUUCUAAUAAUUUUAUCAAUAAUUAAGAAUUAAUCCACACAAUUAAUUCUAACUAAGUCAAUUAAUCAUGUUAAAAAAGCUAAUUAAAACUAACAAUUAAUCUCUAUCAAUUCAUGAACAAUUAUUAAAGAAUAGCAAAAAAAAACAAAAGGAACAAAAAUUGAAAUAAAAUGCCAAAAGAAAUGCACAAACAGAGGGUAUGCGAUAGAAAAAUAGGGUGCAACUAACAAUGGCCCAUACCAAGGCCCAAAAUCAAACAAGUUAAGGAAUAGGGGGUGCCAUGGCUGGGGGAGGUACGGGAAAUGCAUUUGUUGGGCCAAAAAGCCCAAAGUUCAGACAAGGCAGUGCUGAAGGUGAGUGAAUGAAGUGGAAGAAUGGAAUAGUGACUCAUCAAGGCCAUGUGCGACACAAAUCAUAUUAAACACAUUAUUCACAUGUUAAAAAAAAUCAGAGUUAAAGUUCAAACAUGGUAAUUUCCCUCCUCCGAGCCCAGUUUCUUCUCCGUCGCGAUGGAGGUCGCCUCUGGCGGCUGAGGAGCCUCAAUGCUACAACACUCAUAUCAUUUUCCUCAAUUCUUUGCCCUGAAUCAAAAAAUCAAUAUGACAAGACCUAAAUAUGUUAGAGCAAGAUUUAGUUCUACAUCUAUACCUUGAGUUUUGAUGAUAACAAUGUUGUAUUUAUGUGAGAACAAUUUUGGUACCCUAAUGGUUCGUUAUUGUGUAGCUUUAACAACCAUUUUAGAUUCUGAGUAUAUGACGUGCAACACUAUCAAUUUAUGAAUAAUGAGUUCCAAAUCCGCUUCUACACCAGUCAUAAGAAUUUUUGAAAGAUGAUCAAUAUUGCUGCUGUAAUGAUCUUUCUGCUUCUGUGCAGGUUCACUCCUGAGAAGGUUCUGAGUAGACACUAUGUUACUGUUGCAACGUUCUCUCAGCAUGUGCUUCUGGACAUGACUCUAAUCACUAAAAUUCUGAAGAAUAGAAAGCUUCUAAAGUUAUGUUACUUAGCUAAAUAUUCCUAAGAUCUCAAGCCAGACGAUUGAGGUUAUCAAGGUUUUGACUGUAGAUUCUGAAGACUCCGAAGAUUCUGAAGAUACUGAAGAUCUUAAGCCACAUUACUGAUGCUGUCAAGGUUCUGACAAAAGAUUCUGAAGUUUCUGAAUCCAUCUUUAUGUUUCUUCAUUUCAUGCUUCAUCAAGUUUCAUAAGAAGCCAAUGAAAUUGAAGAUAAGAUCAAUUGGAUACAUGAUCAAAUAGUACAUUGUACAAAUCAAAUAUCCUUUCCACUACCUGAUUUCAUGGGCAAGGACAAUACUAUACAUCACACAUGUAACUGAUUUUAUGGGCAAAGGACAAUACACAAUAUCACUCAUUUCACCAUCCAACAGUGGAAAUCCGCUCUAUGAGCUUUCCCCAUUUUGCCCACCAACAUUUGUCUUCUUAUGCUAUAUAAGUAAGACUUGGAGACUUGAAGAAAAGAAGAACGCUAAAUGUUGAUGGUGCUACAACAAACUUGACAAGUCUUUUUCUUUAUGAAAAUAUAUCAAUUUUUAUACACAGUUUUCUUUAAGUAUUUGUUUAUCAUUUGUGUAAAAUCUUCUUUUAUAGAAGCAACUUGAAACACACAAUCUUAUUCAAACUGUUUGUUUGAUUCCUUAAGGAGACUAGGGUAUAGUCGGAUCCUUGAUAAGACAAAUAAAGUUAUUCUUUGUGAGUCCUUAAGGAGAAUAGGGUAUAGUUGGAUCCCUGAGAAGACAAAGAAGAUUAUUCUUUGUGAUUAUUAUAAUCUGUUGAUUAUAGUGGAUUAAGUCCUUGUGAAUAAGGCAAAUCACCUUGGCGGAUGGACUGGAGUAGCUUUUAGUUUCAAGCAAACCAGGAUAAAAAUACUUGUGUUUUUAUCUCUUUGUUAUUAACUUUUAAGUGGUGUUCUUGAGUUGGUAAAAAUAUUUUGUUUUGUAAAACACAAUUCAAACUCUCAUUUCUUGUGUUUCUCACACCUUCAAAAUCUUCAUGAAUGGCCUGAGUUGAAGCACACAACUGAAGAAACCUAGAACCAAAUAUGCGAAAUUAAAUUCUCUCUCCCCCAGAAUCAAAACCGUAGAGGUCAGGGCUUUGAUUCCCCUAACGUCUCUCUAUAUGCCAGUAACUCCUAUGCAAUAAAUCGAUGAAGAUGAUGGAAAACUCACCGAAGCAGCGCCAAAAUCAGGUACGAAAUCUCGAAUCUUAUUUCUCCUAUCUUUCUUCUUUCUUCUUCUCUUCUUCUUCUUCUCAAAUCUUCUUUUGGAAAUUCUAUGAGAUCGGAUUAUGGACUAGAGAGAGAUAGAGAGUGCUUGAACCAUGAAGAGUGAAUCUUGAAAACUCUGAAAAUGGUGAAUUGAUUGUAACUAAAUCGUGAAAUGAGUGAAUCAUGUACUUAUAGUGGAGGAUUAAUAGAGUUGAUCUAACUCUGUAAGAUGAGUGAAGUCUGAGUUUGUUGGAAGUUAGAUCACAAAGUUAGUUGUUAGUUAUAUCUAGUUAGUUAGUUAAUUAGUUUGAGUAGAAUGAAUCAGUUAAUUGCAGUUAAAUGGUGAUUUAAACUUGUUUAGUAAAGUGAAUGAAACUCGAGUUAAUCUUUAAUUGCGCUAGUAACUUCUAUUAAAUGGAUGAGUUAAACGAAAGUGUUAGGUUGCAGUUAGUUUAAUAUGAGUAUUAUUGAAUGUGAUGUUGAUAUUUCUGUUAAACAUAAUAUUCAGUGAAAUGUUAGUUGUCAAUGUUAAGUUGCAGCUAAAUCCUUGAUAAAUGUUAUGUUAAAUGGAGUUUCAAAUUUUGUUGUUAAAUGACACUAAGUGAAAAUGUCAGUUGGAGUUAAUAUGUUAAGAUGAAUUCAAUGUUUACUUGUGUUAUAUGAAAAGCUUAACUCGAAUUUGAAUGAAGAGUUACUUGGACUGCUUGUCGAUUGUUGCAGGGUGCCUUCUAGGUUAAUGAUGGUUUAGCUUUGAUGUGCUCACUUGCUGUAGGAGGUUUGAAGGUAUGGGUUGUUGCAGGCUUUUGUUACAGGAUGGAUGUUUGACUUGUAAGGUUUGUUAAAGGAUUGCUGAUUGAUGCAUGAUAGAUGUUUGGCUGCUAAGUUAAUGAAAUGGUUGCAGGCUGAAGUUGGAUUGGUGAUGUUUGGCUUGUAGGGUUUGUUGAAUGUUGUGCUCCUGAUGUGGAAUUGGUCUAGUUGUUCACUCUUGGUGCAUGUUUAUCGCAUGUUGUGGCUUCUAGUUGCAAUGCUUUUAUGGUUGCGAUGUUUGGAAAUAUGGACUGCUCAUGUGUGUGCCUUGUUUGAAAUGCUCAAGUUGGUUUGAAAUGGUUUACAUUAGUUUGUUGUAUUGGUUUUGGUUUUGAUAUGGUAAUGAUGAACAUGUGUUUAGUCAUGACAUUGCCUUAUGUGAUAUUUUUUUGGAUUUUGGUGUUUUGUAGGUGAUGGAUAAAUGCCAAGAUGAUCUUAACUUGAAGACCAAGGAACUAUGACCUAGGGAUCGUAGAAUUAUAAGUUGACUUUGGUCAAUUGGUUGACGAAAAAGUCAACAGUUGGCCAAAACUUAACUUAUGCAAAAAUGAUGUAAUUUUGUAAUCUUUUUUCAAUGAAUGUAUUUUGGACAAUGUACUAAAUGGGUCUUGUAAAUGCAAUGUAAUUUCCUUUGUUAAAAAUGAAUGUUCUAAUGAUACAAUGAACCUCUUCAAUUCAAUUGACCAUUUCCCUAAUUCAAUGCAACCAAUUGAGAAGAAAUGCUUUGAAUGAUUGAAUGGCAUUGAAAUCAAAUGACCAUGAAAUGAUUUACCCAAAUAGACAAUGAAAUUUUAACCAAAUGAUGAUGACCAAGAAAAUAAAUGGAUAGAGUGUAACUCAGAUCAAAUGGUACCAAUGAGAAUAUGCAAUGAAAUAUGAAUGUAGCCAUGCCUUAGACCUAUCAAAGCAAGCCAUGGACUAGGGUUUAGCUAGGUCAAAGCUCAAAGUCAAGAAACAACCAAAGGCCUAAAUCAAAAGCAAUCCACAUAAGCAAUGCACCAAUGCUCUGAGCCACACUAGGGUUUUCAUACCCCUCAAAGAAAACCGCAAGGUUCACUAACCUCAAGAUCAAUGAUUAGGGAUUGGUAUGGAAUAAACACCAAGAUGCAUCCUCCAAGGCCUCAAGCACCUAUCAACUAGGGUUUUGCCUUAAUCACCAUGAUAGGCUCUUCUCAAUGAUUGUAGCAUCACACCCUCUAGGGAUUGAUCCUCAAGCAAACCCUAGCUCCUUGUUAAGUACAAUCAGCCUUAAACCUUUGAAUCUAUGAUGAGAUUGGUACACUAGAUGAUAUGGAUGUUCAUGAAUGCAAAUGUAUCUUAAACCAAAAGGUUAGAUGAAAAUGAAAAGGGAGAAUAAUUUUGGGGUAUGACACCGACUAUCCCCUCGUGUAAUUCUAAAAGGGCGUAAGUGACUUCCUCCUUCCUUAGGAACUUCAACAAUGGUGUAGGUAAGCCUAUUUUAUAUAAAGCUCAUCCUAUCAUGGUAUACUCACCAGCCAUUCUCUUUGCCAGGGCAUCUUUGGAUGGGUCCGAUAGUAGACUUCCUAUCUCGAUAUACUCAUGUAUUAGAGACAUUCAGGAUGGAAAGGCAGUGCAUUCUAUGGCUGACAUUAUUUCCCUCAGGACUUCAAUGCUUGGGGUUUUUCUAGUCCCAUGAAUGAAACAAUGAUUAAUCUCAAGAUUCCUCGUGUUGGCUAAUUGGAAUUACACAUCAACAUGAGUGAUUUCUUCUAGUGGAACAUGAGCAGUUUUGGAUUCUUUGAAUCUUUCCAAAUGUUUGGUAGCUAGAUUGAGGUAUCGUUGCAAUAACAUGUAUUUAUAUUAGGCAACCCUUCUUAUCUGAGAGAUGACUAGCUGGGAGUCUGUUCUUAGCUUAAUAUGGUCUACCCCAUAUCUUCAGAUAAGGUCAUUCCUGCAAUCACCACUUCAUACUCCACUUAAUUAUUGGUGGUUGAUAACUCGAAUCUCAAGGAUACUUCUACUACGAGCCCAUCAUUAUUCUCUAGGAUCAUACUGGCACUGCUUCCUCAAGUGUUAGAUUACCCGUUCAUUAACAUUACCCUCGAGCAAUCUUGCUUUGGAGGUAUGAAGGUAAUUUUAGCCAAGAAGUCAAUAAACAAGUAAGCCUUUAGAAUUUUCCUUGCUUUAAAAGAUACCUCAAACUUCGACAACUCAAUGGCCCACUUUGUAAGAUUCCUGGCCAAAUCCAGUCAAUAAUGCACCAAUUUCAAGGGAACGUUAGUCCGAAUGAUUAUGGAAUGUGUGAGGAAAUACCUUCUGAGAUUGUGUGAUUCUGUCACCAAUGCCAAGGAUGCUUUCUCAAUAUUCUGGUAUUGUGCUUUUGUUUCAGUCAAUGCCUCCGAUAUGAAGUACACAUGGCUUUGGUUGGAGUUAGGAUUUCUAAUUAGGACGAAGUUCACUGCCUGCUCUAUGAUAGCUAGGUACAGAUACCAUGUUUCUCCAAAGAGCGAUCGAGUGAGCAUUGGUGGCGUGGCUAGAUUUUAAUUCAAUGACUCAAAUGCCUCUUCACUAUUGGGACUCCAUUCAAAUUUCACCUCCUUCUUCAACAACUUAUAAAAAGGUAAUGCAUGUUAGGCGUAUUUUUAAAUGAACCUGUUCAAAGCUAUCAACAAGCCAUUCAACUUCUGGACCUCUUUCUUUAAGGCUAUACCGCUCAUUUAGACCAAUGUUUCACACUUGUCGGGGUUUGCUUUGAUUCCUCGCUCAGUUAGGUGGAAUCCCAAGAGAUUUCUAGCUCUUAUCUUGAAUGUGCACUUUUUUGGAUUGAGACUCGUGUUAUAAUGGCGAGCCCUCUUAAAUACCCGUUGGAGGUGUUGAGCAUGGAGCUCCUCUUAACCAAAUUUUACAAUCAUGUCAUCCAUGCGCACUUCCAGGGUCUCCCCUAUCUCGUCUUAAAAGAUCUUGUUCAUCAUCAUUUGAUAUGUUGCACCACCAUUCUUCAAUCCAAAAGGCAUGGCAUUGUAUUAGUAAUUGGCUUGUUGUAUCAUGAAUGUCAUCCCUAUCCAGUCGAGCCCGAACAUAAGUAUUUGAUUAUACCCGAAGUAAGCAUCCAUGAAUGAUAAUAACUUGUACCCAACUGAAUAAUCUACAAGUUUUUCUAUGUUCGAGGGCGGGUAAGAGUCCUUCAUGCACACUCUAUAAUAUUCGUAUAAUUAACACAUCCUCCAUGCUCAUGAGGCUUUCUUUACUAGAACGACUUUGGAUAGCCAUUUCGAUACUUAUCCUUGGAAAUGAAUCUUGCAUUUAAUAGUCCUUUGAUUGCGCUCGCGGUAGCUUCAACUUUCUCUGUAAACUGCCUUCAUCACAUCAAGGAGACAUAACGAGCGCUGAGAUCGACAUUCAACUGAUGGCAGGCCACAUUAUGGUCAAUGUCGAGCAUCUCGUGCAAUGAGAUAGCGAAAAUAUUUGUGUUGGCUUGAAGGAAUUCGAUUAAUGUAGAUCUUACCUCCAGGGGAAACCCAAAUACUAUCUUUACCGAUCACGUGGGAUUAUCACCGAGUUGGACGAUUUCAAACUUAUUGUCAAGGACGGGCCUAACUUUAUCCACACGAGUAUCCAAAUCGAACAUAUUGAUACCUCCUGGAUUUUCCUCAGAUUUUGCUGACGAUGCGAGGAUUUCAUACAAAAUAAUUUCUUUGACAUUCCUUGCUUCCUUAAGGUCGGUGUUGGUCACGAUCGAACCCCUUUCCAUAUCAUGGUAUGCUAUCUUGAGGUGGACAAGGGAAGCCACAACUUCAAUCCUCUCCAAGAAGGAUCUCGCCAAAAUACAUUUGAAUUUGUUUCUACAUGGAAUUACAAGGAAGUUAACGGUUACCUCUCUCCCUUAAACUCCUUUUCCUAAUGACAACAUCAGAUUUAUCGUGCCACAAGGGCUAGUCGCCGAGUCAUUGAAGGCCAACAGAUUUCCCCCACAAUACAUAUUCAAAUCUGGUUGUCGGAGGCCUAAUUGCUACAACGUGUCCAUUUAGAGGAUGUUGUAGGAGCUUCAAUAAUCUACGAGGGUUCUUGUCACAUUUAAAUCAAUGACGGUGAUAGUUAGGAUCAACGAGAGGUCGAAGUUCGAAGUACCACCGAUCCUCUCUCGAUCUUGCAAUCCUAACGCCAAUCGAUCUUUGUUUUGCUGACAACACUUGUCGUCAGAAAAGGCAUUAUAAUUGCGGAUCGAUAUUGGAUGUCGUUGCACCAAGGAUCUCAUCAAUAGGUGAUAAUUGGUGGAGGAAGGGAUCGAAAGAUUCGGUGGAUCUGUUUGACAUAACUAAUGGAAAUAUUGCUUCCAUUCCAAUGUUUCUGGUAGAGAUAGGAUUUUAGGUCGAAGAUGAUUUGCUCGUGGAAUCUCGCGGGAAUAAGAAGUUUAUUCUCACAGACGGCGUCAGUGUUCCGUUUUGGAACCAGAAAUUAGGUGUGAGCUGGUGCUGAAGAAUCAUGAAUUGGUGUGAUGAUCUCCGAUACGACGGUGCGAUGGUGGAUCUGCAAGGUUAACACUCUAAUGUCCAAGUCAGUUCAAGAAUCAAGAUAAUUAUAAUGAAGAGUGGAGAUCAAACAUAAAAUCUUCUAUUUUACGUGAAAUAACUUUAUACAUAAGAUCAUUUAGAGUGGAUAUUGACUUGGACCUUAAUUUUUUCGGCCUUGCUGGCCAAAAACAAUAUCUAAAUAUUCUACUUGAUUUAUAAAUAUUUAUUUUUGUCAGCUUUUGGUCAAUUCAAUGGUAAUCUUGCAUAUUUUUCUAAAAAAGGAAUUGAUUAAUUGAUUAAUUCAAUAAGUGAAGAAUUGUAGCUAAGUAAAAGUCUCAGUAGAUUCUAAGUGAAAAAUUAUUCUAAAGACUUGAGUUUUAUUUCAUAAAUUUUAAAAUAUAAUUAUAUAAUAACUAAAUAAAUAUUAUGUGAAAUACAGGUUGAUGAGUGUUGGUGAUUUUAGUAUCAUCAAUGUAAUUUUAGUAGUAAUGUGAUUUACUAUAGGCCGAUGCAAUUAUGCGUUAAAGCUUGGAAACGAGUUAGGGGUGGUGCGGAGUGCACGCUCGUCGAGUUAACGUAUAAUUGAAUGCGAAUAAUUGAAACGGGCUUCCAACGUUCGAAAUUUUCUUUUAAAUUUUGAAUCCUUUCCCAACCGACGUAACCGUUUCUGAACAGUUGCGUCUUUUCGGUUUCUGUUAUUGAUCUCCUAUAUAAGGAGUCAUUUGGCCUCAGUUUGUAAACACAUAACGAAACCAAACUUUCUCUCUACAUUCCUGAACAUUUCUCUUUGCCAGAAACAAAUUGUUCUUCAAGAAUUAUUCCCACAAAGAUUUCGUGAACCCAGGCAAGAAUAGGGUCGAAAUACUUUGUUCGGAAAGUGUACGAACACGAUUCUUCGAAGUUAUCCAGGAUUAUCAUACCCAAUUUUCUAACAAUGAGUAUAUGCUCACAAUCUUUGAAGGUAAGGAUAUACUCCACCUGGAGGGAUUGAUUCAUUGAGUUUAUUACGAGAGAGAUUUUUGUAAUUGCAGAAAAAUACUAUAUAAAUAUUGUGAUGAAGACAAGUUAAGGUUCAAAAUAGAUACAGUUUAUAAAUAAAAUUGGCUAUUUACAUACAUAAUUGUCAUAUUGCCUAAAAGUUUAUUUUAUAGUAUAAGUCCAAUGAACUAAUUCCACCUAAGAUUCCUAAAACAUGAACCAAUCACAAAUGAGUUUGUAGACAAAACAAAAGGAAAUAAUUUCAUUGCCAAAAUAUAAUUAAACGUACAAAUAUUUAAGACAUGAUAUUGAAUUUAAAUUUGGAAUAUCCAUGCAGACUCCAAUUUCUCAAACUUCUGCCAAAUCCAAGAGAAAACAUUAACUCAAAAAACAAAAAACAAUUUUUGUCAAAACUGAAAUUUGAGACUUGAAAGAGAAUGAAGACAACACAAGAUCCAAUAUCUAAAGGAAAAUUAGAGGCCAUUUUAAAGAAUUUUUGACAUAGUGUAUGGACAAAAAAUAGUCAAUAAAUAUAAAUAACAUCAUAUAUUAAGUGGAAAAUAAAAGGAUACUCUCGAACCAACGUUUUACACUGGCUGACCUCCGAACCGAGAUGAGAUUUUACACAGGAUACUCUCGAAACAAGAUGAGAUUUUACCCGGGUUGAUCUCAAACUAAGAUGAGAUUUUACACGGCCUAAUCUUGAACCAAGAUGAGAUUUUACACGGGUUGAUAUCUGUGGCGCCGCGAAAAAUACCUGAGUGCAUCACACGCUCGAAGAUACAAUAGAUUCGCCAUCGAAUUUUAUUUAUUCUAAAAGGAAAGAGAAAAUAUCGAUAAAACACAGGGGAAGAGAAAAAGGAUAAGAAAUUUGAUUAUGCAAGUGGAAGGUAUUAACACCCUUCAUAUCUGUUGUACUCAACGGGAAACAUUUUGAUUGUUCUUUGCUCGAAUGAGUGUUAUUAUCUAUAGGUUACUUGCGAAUGAUGAAAGGGAAAUUUUUUUAAUGAUUAGUGUGAAAAAGUAAUUUUUCAAAUAAGUUGCUUCAUGUUAUAUGCUUGAAUCCAUGCUAAUGCAAUGCUUAAUUCAAUUCUAUGCAAAAACUAUGUUAGAAACUCCUAUGUUGAUUUUUCUUUACUACUUGAAUAUGUUUUUUGUGGAUGCAAAAAAAGUGUUUAUUGAAUAAGUUAUUCGGUAUAAGAGGAUAAAUUAAGGCUCUACCACAUACAUUCAACAAGAAUAAUUCACCCAAGAAUUCAUGACAAUGGUAUGAAGAAAAAAAUGGAGAACUACCAACGGAGCAGAGGUUUGCUCCGGUUAGAAGUUCUUUGCGGACGACGCGUCGAAUAGAAACGGAAAACCUCGAGAGAUAAGCUCUUACACUUCCAUUAACUCCUAAGCUUGAUCAAUGAUGAUUGGAUGUAGAAUCUUAUGGAUGUGCUUGAAUUUUGAUGAUUGAAAUUGAUGAAUUCUUGAUGAUGAACUUUCUUGAAUUGUUGAAUCUUUUUAAAACUUUAAUGAUUAUGCUUGGAAUUGAAUGGUGAAUUAUUUUUAGAUUGUGGUUGAGUUCCAUCAUCUUAGAACUUCAAUGUGAAGUUCUAAAAUGGUGAUGAAUAUGAAUUUUGGUGAGAGUCAGGGAGUGAAAAAGGGAGAGUGUAUAAAAAUGGUGGUAAAAAGUAGUUAUGGUUGUUAAUAGUGGUGCAAAGUGGUUAACCUCCAAAAUUGUGACAAAUGAUAUGUUUAUAUAGUUUUUGUGAAUGAUUGUGAAUCCUUAGAUUAUGAUCCAAGUAAAGCCUUUAUCAAUGGUUGAAAAUUGGAAGUUAGAAAUUGUGUUAGUUUGAUAGUUAGAGAAGUUAGGGGUAAUUAGGUAAAUGAAUGACUUGUGGAGAAAUAGGUAGUUAAUGGUAGUUAGAGAUCAUUCAUGUUUGGUUUUUGCAUAAUUACUAAUUUAGGGGGUUAGGUAAAUGGUCAAUUGGUUAUAACUUGAAAUUGACUUGAAUUUACUUUGAUUUUACUUUGGAUUUUAGCCACUUUUUUCAUGCCUUUUUGAUGAAUCAAACCACGGACUUAAGUGCUUUUUGGGAGUGGUCUUGUGUUGAAAACAAGUACUUUUCAGUGGUUUAAAUUUACAAAUCAAAAAUCGGAUAUUUUGUGCAUAAAAUGGCUUGAAACAAAGUUGAGAAAUGUUGAAAAAAUAAAGGUUAUAAUGCAGAACUUUUCCGAAGUGUAGAAUUUUUCUCAUGACUUUUUUGUGACUUUUGAAUGGUUUCAAUCUAUGAUAUUGAUGAUUAAUUUGGUGUAUCUUCUUCUUUGCAGCAAAGUGAGCAUUGGGGUGGGAGAAUGGGCUCGAUGUGACAUCAGAAAGUAAAGAUAGAGCCAUGGAAAUGAAGCUUCAUGGAAGAUGAAAAAUGGUUGGAAACUUGCAUUAUAUAACAUGUAACAUAACCAUGAAAUUCUUCAUUUUUGAUGAAGAAUGAUGAUUCUUUUGAUAAAAUGCUUAUAAGGUAGGUCUAGGAAAACAUAGGAGUCAAAAUCGAGUUAGUGGUCAAAAGUUGACAAUAGUUGACCAAAAAGUUAAUAGUUGACCAAAAAGUCAACUUUAUCAAAUUAAUGUAAUUUUUUAUCCCCUUUUCUUGUAAUCCAUUUUUUCAACUUGUAUCUCAAGUAAUAAGCAUUGUAUCAUGAAUUUACAUGAAUGAAUAAAAUAUUCGUUGAAUUUCCAACGUUGAUUUUUUCCUUAAAUUCAAGCAAUCUUCCGAAUCAAAUAACAACCAUUCCAAUCCCUCUAACAACCAGGAAUCCCAAAUAAACAGAUGUUCCGCACCACAAGUGAUAUGAGAAACAAAGCCGAAUAAUUACCAAAUAAUAACCAUGCUUGAAAAUCAACUCAAACUGAUUAAAUCCACUAUCACCGAACUUUGACCUAACGAUUCUACUAUGCAAAAUGAGAUGAAUGAUGUGUUAAAUGCAUGACUUAAUUGAAUGAAUUAAGGACCAUGUAUGGAGAUAAUUUUAAUGUAAGCCAGACGAAUUGAAUGAGGAGGUAAUUUGGGGUAUGACAAUAUCAAUACGACAAAAAUUUUACACCCGGAUGAGCUCAAGAACCUUUGUAGACAUUUUAUUGGACGAUCUUCACAAACCAACCGAGAGCUUUUGUAGCAGGUAAAACUCACGAACCAAACAAAUACUUCAUAAGAUGAUCCCCAAGCCAAACAAGA
RNAcentral lists this long non-coding RNA (59133 nucleotides) under Lathyrus oleraceus (garden pea). Its description in RNAcentral is "Pisum sativum (pea) long non-coding RNA (PSAT_LNC001095)". The stretch from base 1298 to 1371 matches the Rfam family "tRNA". Lineage: Eukaryota; Viridiplantae; Streptophyta; Magnoliopsida; Fabales; Fabaceae. The record is from RNAcentral.